AGUAUUUACAAAUAUAUAUAUAUACUAGUCUAUUUACUCAUCUAAAAAAAAUUCUCACGGCCGAGGAUCCUACCCCACAAAUUUUGCUGGUUAAUUUGAUCUAAGCAUCCAUUAAGUGUUGUCCUUUUUCUUGAAAUAGACAAGUGUAUUGCAUGCGCUAUGUACUAUUUGGACUUGAGUUGACAGAUUGUUUACUAGUCAUUAUAUUAAGUAGUCUAUGAUCGUUGGAUUAGAGUUAGAACUUGGAAGGAUGGAAGUGGAGUUUAUAGUGUCACACUGCUGCUGUAUAGGAACCCAAAGUCUUAUAUUGUUGUAUGAGUUCGUCUACUUUCUGUUCAAAAGGGUUGAGGCUUCAAUCAUACCAAUCCGAAAUCAACGAUGGACAUUCAAAAUUGAGAAUUAAUACCUUUGGUGAUGAUUUACAUGAUGAAAACUAUUAAUAAACAAAAAAUCUUGAGGUUCUGAGGCCUCCUAUGCAUGUAUGUGGUCAUAACUUUAGCGUGCUAAACUAUGUGAGAAGGCACAAAUUGAAAUCCACACCUUGAUCUUGAUCCACAUAUCAGAAAGCUUGUAUAUACCAAAAUUCACUUGAUUUGAGAGGGCUUCCAGACCCUAAAUCAUGCAAAACAUCAUAUCAAACCAUUAAAGCAAUAUUUUUUUUGAAACUUGAUGCAUAGGUAACUGAUCUCUAAAACACAUGAAUUUGAUAUCAUAAUACUUUUUAUGAUGUAGAUCAUAAUUAAUAGCGUGAAUCAAAAACUACCAAACUGUCUUGAAUUAGGCGGUUCAGAAUAUACCGAAUUAGACUGGUGGGGAAUGGGGAUCGUUCAGUUAGUCAAUCUGGUUCGACUAGGGUUUUUAUAAAGCCCUCUCCUCUCCCCUCUCUGAAUCCUCACCUUUCCUCUCUCACCCUAUCUUUUGAUCCUCCUCUUCAUUCUCUCCUCUCCCCCUCUGUCCCAAUUUUCGUCUCCCCUCUUCUCUCUUGAUCCCUUGCAACUCCUUUUGCAUGAUGAUGUUGAUGAUGCCAAUGCCAACAGUUAGGGUUCCACGACAAUGACUUCACCACUAGGGUUAAGGUUCCAUCGCUAUCGAUGAUGUUAGAGGGAGGUACUCUUGUCCCUUUCUCUCUCUCUCUCUCUCUCUCUCUCUGCCCCCCUCUCCUCUCUCUCCUGCCCCCUCCUCCCUCUUCCUCCUAGUUCCAGUAUGCCUCAAGUUGAUAUGGUAUGUACCGGUAGCGUAUCAAACUAGUAGCCAGCUGGUAUGACUUUCGGUACCAGUUCAAUGAACCUUGAUGUGAAUCCUUCAUAUAACAUCUCCAUAAUAAGAUUGAGACCACAAUCUUUCCAGGAGAGUAGACCAACUCCUGCUAUACUAUGAUAUCGGGUCACUUCUCCUUGCACUGACAUCCAAAGUUUUUUGAUGCAUCAAACUUUAAGUAUGCAUUUGGUUCAGAACAAGAAAAGUGAACGCGAAUGAUUAUCACUAUGAGGAUAGUUAUUUGACCAGUAAUUCCUAUUUCUGUAUGGCUACAAUUUUAAAUAACUCUAGGCUGAGUAUGUUUUGUAAAAGCAAGGUCACCUUGCUUCCUUGAACUAAUAACCAUGCUAACCUAGCCUCCUCCAUCCCUUGGGACUAACAAGGGUAGUACAAGAAUAUUCAUCUAUUGUCCACUCCCCACACCCGACGCCCACCCACCCCCCCUCUUCCCCUGCCCCCGCGAAAAAAAAGAAGAAUGAACACAGGAGUGGAUGAGGAAAUAGCUUAUGACAUCUCUUCUUUGGAAUUGCUAUGCUUGCACUAAGUUUGAUCGAAAUAACUAGUCCUUGCAACUCUUUUCUAAAAAUUGUUUGGCAGGCAUAUGGCUUAAUCUAAGCCUUAUGGCUUUUUUUUAAAAAAAAAACAAUGCUGUCUACAUCUCUCUCGCUCUCUAUUUAAUUGUGCCUUGAGCCCAAGUGUGACAAUAGGAAAAAGAAAUGUAAAGCCACCAAUAUUCGCUGGUGGGGGCCUCAACAAUCCAGUUUGGAGAGGAACAAGAGAAGUGCACGAGCCAAAAGAGGUAGUGCGUUUAUGAAGUUAAAUAAAUAAAAGGGACGGGUUUGAGAAACCUUGUUUUCACAGGUGCUCUCUCUCUCUCUCUGCCGUCCUCUCCAUUUUCCACGUGCCUAUAGAUACACCAAUGUUUUAGGAGUGUAACUCUUGUUGCUCAACUUUUUUCUCUGUGAGAGAGAGAGAGAGAGAGAGAGAGAGAGAGAGAGAUGCAUCUCUUAAGAAAAUAUAGUAUUAUUUUAGUUUUAGGNNNNNNNNNNNNNNNNNNNNGUUGUCUCUACUUUCUUCUGUAGAGAGAGAGAGAGAGAGAGAGAGAGAGAGAGAGAGAUGCAUCUCUUGAAAAUAUAGAUAUUUAUUUGGUUUUAAGUAAUAGGACACUCUGUUUCUCAUCUUAUGUGCAUUUUGCAUGCUAAAUACUAGUAUGAGAGAAGGAUCAUUUAGUUAUCUAAAAUGCUAUGCAUACCUGCUGCAUAUGCACCCGCAUGUGCAUCCCGCAUUUCCUAUAUGCCCUUCUCUCCAUGUAGCAUUUCACAGCCACACGUGGUUUGUUUUGUAUCAUACAACUAUGUUUAGCAUUCUGGAGCUACAUGUACAAUCCACUCAUAUCACUCAUAUAUGGGCCCAUGUAGGUGAAGUGGGUUCAAGGUGAUUGUUAAGUUUGAUAUAGGUUUCAAGUGGGCUUAAUAUGGUUAUGCGAGUAUUAAUGGUGCUAAAAUGUUAAUUAUGCUAUAAUUACUGCUGUCAGGUAUUAGAUACUAAAUAAAAAGCACUAAUUAUUAGUUAUUAUUGUUAUUAAUAUUGUUAUUAUCCAUCCAUGAAAAAAUGUUACCAUUAUUGUUAUGUUUGUUGUACCUGAUGUAUUAGAUUUAUUUUUAAAUAGUUCAAAGAUAGUAACCACAUAUUCACUUGCAUAUGCAGCAUGCAUAUCGAAUGUGCACCAUGUGAUCUCUUGACUGCAUGUAUACUGUAGCUGCUUUCUAUUGUUGGAUCAUAUACAUGUGUAUGUUCAUGUGAGAAGAGGUUGGCGGGCAUAAACCAUGUAUAAAUCAAGUGUUCCCUUACAUGCAACACAUAGACCUGAGCGAGUCUUGAGUUUAUAUACCAUACUAGUAUACGUUGGACAUGCAAAAAUAUACUUGAUGCGUUUAAUCUAUUGCGCUUAAAAUGACUAUUAAGCGAAUAUCGAUGUUAACAUACAGAUACACAUUGAUUAAGAAAUAAGGUUAUUUUUAGCAUGUAAACUAAUAUAACAUUUAUAUAUUAAUGCAACACAAUUAACUGAAUUGAUGGAUUUGUCCUAAGUAGUAGACCUACCUACAUGCUUGGUGGACCGCCUUAAAAAAUACUGUGACUACUAAGUCAUUCAUGUGAUUUUGAUGCCAUAUCUGACUAGAGCAACUACUUUGACUGUAGAUGGUUUGCCUGUGAGUAGAUGGGAUUUUCCUAUGUAUGCAGGACUUCAUCUUCUGUGGAUAUGUGUGUAGUAAUGUGCUUGAAUGGAUAAAAAAUUUAUUGUUUAUGAAUAGACAGAAGUGAUAGUGCAAUGUGAACAUGUUGGACCAUAAAACACAGUGAGAUUUGCAAUAUCUGCUUCUAAGAUAUUGUAAUUGUUGUCCAUCAAUUUGUUAGUAUGCCCAAGAAAUGAACUGUAAUCUUUUAUGAACCCUGUAUGCAAGAUGGUUUCUUUCCUAGCAGAUUUAUAUUUCCAUAUAAACAGGAUGUAGUUUGAUGUGUGGCGUAGAAAAUCAUGUACAUGCAUAGUACAAUGAUUGAUUCUAUGCUUUACAAGGCAUUCUAGUUCGGUAUUGCUUUCUCAUCAUGCAAUGUUAUUGCUCUGUUAUUUUUUUGAAACUUUCAUUGAGUUGUCCUGCAAAUUUUAUCAGAUACCAAUCAGAUGGGAAUUGUAGGUGAGAAUAAAUUUUCAGAGCAGAAGACUCACCACAGAGGCAGGCGGAAGAAGCAUGAUUGGAGAUCAAUGGCUCCAUAGAGAUAAUAACGAAGCAUCUUAUUAUAAUUUGCUGCAUGAAAUGAUUAAAUCGUGAUUAAUGUAACAGAAGUUAGUUAUAGUUACCCAAUGCCAAAUGCAGUCAUGCUGAUUGUUUGGAUGUAAUUAAAGAACAUUGUGUUUUUUUUCAUUAUAAUAUUAGAACCCAUCAGUUGCAAUGCUAGUUUUAAUUCAGACUCUGAAAUAGUUGAUAUAAAUGGAUAUUAUUGCAUCAAUUGGUGGUGUACCUGGAAUAUUUUGAUCAAGCAAAUUCUUAUCUGUGGUUUCCCUCUUACUUGUGUUUCUCCUUGUUCUUGUUUCCUUCCUUGAGUACACAAAUAUUUGAAAAAACAGAAAAGAAAAAAAAAGGAUGUGUUUUUUGCAUUUUUUUUCUUCCAAAUUUGACAAAUGCUGACAUGGUGUUUGAUGGAUGCAAAGAGGACGUUGUACUGUUGUUUGUAUAAAUAUCGUGCAGAGAUGCUAUUUUCAAAGUUGUAUCAUGGCUUGUGCUCUCUCAACAUACCUUGUGAGAAUUCUUCUGUUCUGGUUUUGAUAACCUGCUGCAGGUAACAAGGCUGUCCGCAAUUUACCAUGGUACUCUUAUUGGUGGUUUUAGUUGUUUACCUGCCUUAAUCUCUCAUGUAUUACACAAACUUUUAUUAAAUAUAUGUGAUGUUAGAUUACGGAAGGUUUAUUUGCUCCUAUGUAAUGAUUUCAUACGCUCUGUCACAUUGUCUAAUAUUAUCUUGUUUCUCUGUUAUGGGACGUACAUCAGUGAAAAGCUGACCGAUACUCGCACUAGAUAAGAGGUGGUCAUCCUAUUUUUGAGGAAAACCAAGCAAUUGUUGAACGUGAAAGUGAGAUUAAGGGUGGGUUACGUUUCAAAUAUGAAUCCUAGCCGACCUUAACAGAUGCCAAGCUGGUAUCCUUUAUAUUUCAGUACUUGAAUAAUAUGAAAUUGAUUUUCCUUUUGUGAUAUGUAUGUAUGUCAAUCAAAUCUAUCACAUGUUUUUGAUAAUGUUUACACUUUGCAUACUAUUAUUUUAUUUCAUAAUAUGCUUACGAGAUAAAUAAGUAAAUAUGUACAUAUUUAUUAUGAUUUGUCUGGGAACUAUUAUUAACCUGUAUUGACCCAAAAAAAUCCGUUGGAUUUGCCAAAAUCAAUAUUAUGCCUGAUGUGGGCCAACCCUUGUAGAAUAGGAUUGGGUUUGGGGUCUUUUUUUUUGACCCAGUUCAAAUAUGGAUUGAAUUUUGGUUGUGCCUAUUCCUGAUCCAUCGUAACCUUGCAUCCCAGAGAGUAUGAAUUGGAUCUUCGUUAGUUCGUAUGAUUUAAUCGAUCUUGAUGGCUAAUAAUAAUUGACUACUGGACCUUUGGACAUGCUAUACAUGUGAUUAUGGGCUACUCCUGGAAGAUAACUGCAUAAAAUAAAUAUUAGUUUAAGGGUGCAAUCAUAUUGCAAGGAGACUCGAGUAGUGUCAUCUCUAGGAUCUCAGCAAAAACUCAGCAUGAGAAGCCUAAUCAUCCACCAUUGAUGGAUAUUUGGAGAUUUAAAUUGAUUGAUGCGUAAUUAAUCAUAUGAAAAGCUAAUCAGAUGGUCGAUUAGAUGGCUUUUUAUGUAGCUGAUCAUAGUGGACCUGAGAUUUGAGAUACCUUCUUUAUAUUUACUAUGUUAUCUCCAAUACAUUUUAGUGACAGAUGCUACUAGGUGUAUUUAUUCAAGCUAUGAAACAACCGGAUUGACAGAAAAAAAAAGAAGGGUAGAUGAUAGGCCCUUCAUAUUGAUAAGUCAAAUAUAGAGUGGAAUCAGAAGAGUUUUAAUUAUAAUAGUACUAAAAUACAUGUUUCCCAUAUAAGAAAAUCAAGUGAGGCGAUUUUGAGAAUCUGGAGUUCAGUCAUGCUGGACUUCCCACCGAGACAUUUAAGCGCACAUAAAUAGUAUCAGAGAAAAAUAACAAAAAUUGGAGUGUGUGUGUACACACACACAUACACAUUUAUAUAUUCUAUUUCUAAAUUGCUUAUAUAUAAAAAAUUAUAUAAUUUAGAUAUUUUUAGCCUACGUAUUAAGUAGUAAAAAAUUGAAUGUAAUAUGGUAUAUCACUUGCAGGCAUCCAUGCGGAGACCAGGGAUGAUGGAGUGGGAUGUCACCUGUGCUUACCUGACUUAUCAUAUUUGGUUAGACAAGAAUGUCUGUAUCUUCGAGGGAAGGAGGUCUCAUCUGCUAGCUGUGGUGGACAGAGCUACUCAUCAUGCGACCGAGAUCAUCGACACUAUCUUGGCAAUUUCACCUAGGGAGAUUAAGGACACCUGGGGUUCUUAUAUCACUGUUACAACGCUCAGAGUCACUUUUGUCACUUGGGAACUGCUACUCCCUGGUCACCUCAAGGUGAACUUCGAUGAUAGUGUGCUAGCAAGAGGAGAUAGAGGUGGGAUGGGAUUCGUAAUCCGAGGUCACAAUUCUUGUUUGAUUACUGUAGGAGGGCGAUGCAUUAGUGGUACGACAGUCAUAGAAGUGGAGCUCAGGGCGGCAUGGGAGGGCAUCACUUAUGCGAGGUCUGUUCUAGGGGCUAGUGAGAUCACUCUGGAAGGAGAUUCUGCCAUGGUGAUUAAUUGGAUUCGGGAUGCUACGCAACAGGUUGCCGAUCAUCCUUUCUUUAGCGAUAUACAUCAGAUGGUGCGAGACUGUAACUUCUUUUAGGUUGCUUAUGUAUACCGGAAGGCAAACAGGGCGGCUAACUGGAUGGCUUCCUUUGCUGCCCAUCACUCCGGAGAGGACUUCUGGAUAUGGGCAGAUGUUGUACCCUCUUUUUUAGGCCACAUUUUGUAUUUUGAUUCGGUUGUAUUCAUAUUAGAUUAAUGUGAGCGUCUGUUUUAACCAAAAAAAAAAAAAAAAAAAUACAACAACAACAACAAUACAUUAGCUAAGCGGGUGCAAUCGGGUCAGCGCCAAGCGACUACCGGAUCGGAUUCAUUCUCUUGUUCUGUGUCCGCACGUGAAACGGGAGAUAUCCCAUAAGCUUUUUGGGGAUAUGCGCUCAGGGAGUGGGCGAGGCAGGCGAAAGAAAGAGAUGGGUGGAGGAGUGGAGGCGCUGGGGGCGUACCGGGCGCUGCUGCGGGCGACACGGAAGACGUUCGCCGGUGACACGCUGAUGCUGUCGGAGUCGGCUGUGGAGAUUCGGCGGAGAUUCGAGGAGAACCGCGGCGUGACGGCGGAGGCCGAGGUCAAGCGACUCCUCGACGAGGCGCGUCAGGCCUCCCACUUCAUCACCCACAUGAUCGUCCAAGCCAAGCACAGCUCCACUAAUGGAGGUUAUGGUAAAAUAUCGAGUUUUCUUCUCGUUGCUCGUGCUUUGAAGCUGCUAGCUCUGAUUUCAGGCUAUUUUUUUUUCAAACGUUUGCAACUAUUCCUUCCAUCGAAUUGGAUAUGGUGGUUAAAAAAAUCGUAUUUUUAGAGCUGGAGCCUGGAUGGAUUUCAAGCUGAGAAGAUUGGGUCUAGGGCUAGGAGAGAAUUCUCAAAUUAUCAUUAUUUUCCUGGUGGCUGCUUAAAUGUUCCAACUGUUCGACAAUUGUCAAAAUAUUCAUCAAUUAUGUAUGAACUUAUGAGUUUUAAGAACUUGUUGCCACAGAAGUUUAACAUUGAUACUGGAUAUGAUAGUCAACCAUUUAUCUUACCAUGCUUUGUGACAUUGUGACGGGUUAAACGUUUUAAGAUGCAUAGGUUUUUGGAGUUUAAAAGAAAAUUCAGCUGGCAAAAGCGAAUAAGAUUCUUAAGAUGUAAGGGAUUUCAAUAUUAUAGCUGAAUAUUUUAGGAUGCAAUGAUUCUAAAGAUGGUACUUUGAUGCCCUAUCGUUUGUUCCACAAUUUUGAUGUUUGUAGAGGAUCAUGGCUGUUAUUGGCAUAACAAUCAGAAUGGCUAUUCUUUACUGAAUUAUAUGCUUGUUAAGCAUUUGGGAUGAGAAGGGCCAAGAUGUAUAGGGUCAUCAAGCUAAAUAUAAAAGGCCAAGAAGUCCAUGGGAUGAUAUAUUUCGAUACAUUUGUGGAAAAGACCAAACAUAGCAAUAGGAGGAGAUCUCAUCAUCGUUCAUCACGUCUGUUUAGUUAGUAAAAUGGGUUGAGUCAUGGGAUAGUCUGAAUUCUGUGACAGUCCUAUAUUGUGACUGGAGGUAAUCUAAAGUAGCCAUGAUUUCAUGAUGUCUUAGGUCAGGAAAUUCUUGGGUUGAGUUUAAUGUAGUUUAUUAUUUUCUUUGUUUGAAUCUAAGGAUUUAAUCAGGAAUUGCUUGAACUUUAAAGUCAACCUUUUUUCUCUUUUAAGUCUUUUCGCAUUAGCAAGACCUAAGAGGGGACAAUGCCACACUCUAUGUGGUGACUUAUGGAAAAUGCCAGCUGGCAAAGAUAGCAUCAGUACUACCAAAGCUAACUUUACUAUCAGGUAUUCCUUAAAGUUUAUUUAAGUUAAUCCUUGCUCUUUAAAACAAAUAAUGGAAUUGGAUCACUGAUUUGUAUCUUAACCGACAACAGUUUGUUUUCUAUUUUGCUAUUUCUCUGCAUUAGUUUAACAAAAUUAACCAAGUUAAAUCUUCAGCACAGCUGCAGUUUGUCCCUAGUGCAGUUUGCACCUUAAUUUUUCAAUAUAAAUAUCUUCAGAUAAGCUACAGAAUACAGAAUAUGUUAAAGUUCUUAUUUGAACCCUUCAAGAAAAUUCUUGCUUCAUCUUGCCCUUGUUUUGCAAUUUUGCUUAAUGAGCAACUUCUAAGUUGAUUUUCUGUAUCAUAUAAGAUCUGAAAGCACACAUUUAGUAAUUAAAAUCUUUUUUUAUGUGGCGUUGUGUUUCCUGAGGCCUUUAAUGAUAAUGCUGUUUGCGAAUAAACAUAUAAAAAUACCAUACAGGUCAUGCAGAUUUUCACAAGGCUCUUUUGUUGGACCAAACAACUAUCCAUGUUUUAUUUCUUAAGGAAGCAUUAUCUGCUUAGAUUAGCUGUCAAGUUCAUAUGUUUUGACAUCUUGGUGCAUGGGACUGCUCCAAUGUCCAAUGGAGGGAUCCCAAUGUGACUGGUUACGCUUGUGUAUUGCCAUUUUGCUACAUUUGGGCUUGCUUGACUAAUUAUAUUCUUUUCAUCGCACCAUAUGCAUCAACAUAUGUCAAAAUACAUUACGCCAUUCUCAAAAAAAAAGCCUGUUCUGCAAUUUAUCUGAGAAAUUGAAGAUAAUUGACACAGUCAAAACAGCCUAGCCAUCACAUGUGAUGCAAAAUUCUCUUAUUCAUAUUCCUUGCACUGUUGUUGCUAGCAGCAGAUCAACGCUUGACUGUAACUUUAGUAUGGCAUCUACUACUGCCCUGAAUUAUGAAGAUAUGGCAAUGCUUUCCAGAAUGUGAUUUAGAGGAUCCUUUAAUUGCCUUUCCCAUACAGUUUAACAUCUCAUCUCUUUUGCUAGUCUAAUCUUUGAUGUUUUUUAACUUCUUCUAUUGUAUUGAAUGGUCCAUGAGAUUCUUGUCAACAUUAUGUGAUCAUUGUGUAGACUGGAUAAUCUAUAAACCUGUUUUUUUGGUGCAUAAGUAUUAUAGAAUAGCCAUUUAAACCACAAGAAGAGCCAAAUUGAAUAUGUUGCAAUCGUGCAAUUGUGAUCAUUGUAGUUGUAGAGCAGAGGGAGCUGAGUAUUGAAUGUCUAGGGAAAGCUUCGUCCUUAUGCGUCAUUUGUGCUGUAAAUCAACCAUUUUUUUGUCAUGAAAGGUUGAUGACAUCACAUCAUUAGCAUUCUGAAUUGUAGCUCCAAAUAAUUAUCUUGGGGAGCUUGUUAACUCAUUACAAGUUGUCCUUUUGUUGUCAAUUGCUUUCUUUCAUGUUUGCUCCACUUUUCUAGGGUUUAAACCUUAUCAAGCCUAUCAUUGCUCCCAUUUGUGUGCUCCUUUAAGGCAAGCAAUAUGCUGCCACAUUCUUCAUGAAGUGCAACGUAAGCUAACUCUUGGAUUUACAACCAUGUUAUUGCUCCCUACUCAGUUCAAUAAGCACAAUUUUUAUGAAUCAAGAGGAUCUCAACGUAACAAUUGUUUCCAGAGCUACUGUAGAAGGAAUGUUUGACGUGGUGUGCAGUUAUCCGCAAGCACUUAUUUAGCAUUACAUUGAGUUGAGAAACCUAUUCUUUGGUUGCUUAUUUGCUUGAUGACAAUUUUGAUCAUUCAAUUAAAGAAGUGAUUGUUUUAUAAUAAGUAUACUCAAAGGUAAUAUAAUUAUUAAAACAAUGAGUUCAGGGAUUAUUUGUUACAUGCAUAAAGUCAUGCAUAUAUACAAGGAGAUUGAAUUGUUAUCUUGUAUUUUUUUAACUUUUGCACUACUAGAUUGAGUUUUAGGAAGAAGAAGAGAAUAAUUUUGACUUUAGGUGAAGAGAUGCAACUUGAAUGAAUUUUUACAUUGUUUAUUAGACCUAAACUAAGAGACAAUAAUUUAAAAAGGAAAAAUGUUCAAGUAUCUCCAAAGAAGGGUUUUUUUACCCUCAAAAUUAAGAUAUUGUCAUAGAUUUGCAUAAUCAACCUUGUAUGUGUGCCACUGGUGUAUGAUCUUGAACUAUUGCUUUUUUAAAAUUAAUUUUGUGGCAUCACAUGAAUCCUCGAUGGUUGCCAUCGCAACAUUGACUCCUGAACUGUUGGUGUAUGUGGCAUGGCUCCUCAUUUUUCUAAUCAAUCAAAACAUGCUGCAAUGAGGACCUCUAUACUGUAUCCACAUAAACCAUCUUGGUUUUGCUUGUUGAAGUGAGUCAAAUUGUAUAUCUUUAUUUGAUAUGGUCUAAUAUUUCAAACUGAAACUUAUAUUCAUGUAAGGAUGGAAUGUACAUAUAUAAUCCAAAAAGGUAGCCCAAUGCAUGAGGCUCCUGUCUUGCAAGGUCUGGAAAGGGUUAAAUGUAUGCAACCUUACCCUGUGUGUGGAGAUGUUGUUUCCGUAUUUCGAACCCAUGAUCUUUAGGUCACGAUGGAGCAAUCUUGCCGCACCCCGAACCUGUUACCUAGGUCGACCACGUGCAGGGGCGGCCCAAGCCUUAGGCGACCGAAGCGGUCGCCUAAAGCCUCAGCCCAAAGGAAGGCCUCCGGGAGUCUCCUACGAGCCAACAUAGCUGCCUACGAACCGAGUCGAAGUUGGAACUCGGAAGCCUACGAGCUGCUCCAACAUGGCAGCAUAGCUAUCUGCUGCCUACGAGGCUACGAUCCAGACAUCUUAGCCCGUCCUCUAUCCUCCUGCCGGCUGCCGUCCAUAGCCCAUAGGACCACCAUAGCCCGUCUUCUCCAUCCGCCGUAGUCACCAGAAUCCCAGUCUUCCCAGAUAACCAGAGUCCAGGGCCCUCUAAAGUUCUAAACUCUUCUUCUUCAAUCUUCGGUUCUUCCUUCCUGUUCCUGCUACCUAGUUCCUCGGUUCACUGUUCACUUCCUCCUCCUCCAUCCUCCUUAGUUCUUCACUUCUUCCAUCCUUCGCCCGUUCGCCGUCCUCUCCAGCCUCUAGGUGGCAGGUGCUCUUCAGAUAUUUCCCUGUAAAGACUUCAGACAUGCUUUCCUCAUUGUGCUACAAUAACCCAAGUUCCUUGAUUAACUUGUUUCAUGUUUAUGAAGUUCAAGAUUUUUUGUUUUUUUUGUUUGAAUUUCAUAUGCAUGUACUGGUGGUAUCGGAAUGCCUGUUGGACUUUUUUGAAGCUUGUUAUAUGUUAUAGUCAUGCAUAAAGUCAUGCAUAUAUACAAGGAGAUUGAAUUGUUAUCUUGUAUUUUUUUAACUUUUGCACUAUUCGAUUGAGUUUUGGAAAGAAGAAGAGAAUAAUUUCAACUUUAGGUGAAGAGAUGCAACUUGAAUGAAUUUUUACAUUGUUUAUUAGACCUAAACUAAGAGAAACAAUAAUUUAAAAGGGAAAAAUGUUCAAGUAUCUCCAAAGAAGGGGUUUUUUUAACCUCAAAAUUAAGAUAUUGUUAUAGAUUUGCAUAAUCAACCGUGUAUGUGUGCCACUGGUGUAUGAUCUUGAACUAUUGCUUUUUUAGAAUUAUUUUGUGGCAUCACAUGAAUCCUCGAUGGUUGCCAUCGCAACAUUGACUCCUGAACCGUUGGUGUAUGUGGCCUGGCUCCUCAUUUUUCUAAUCAAUCAAAACAUGCUGCAAUGAGGACAUCUAUACUAUAUCCACAUAAACCAUCUUGGUUUUGCUUGUUGAAGUGAGUCAAAUUGUAUAUCUUUAUUUGAUAUGGCCUAAUAUUUCAAACUGAAACUUAUAUCCAUGUAAGGAUGGAAUGUACAUAUAUAAUACCAAAAAGGUAGCCCAAUGAUGAGGCUCCUGUCAUUGCAGGAUCUGGAAAGGGUUAGAUGUAUGCAAUCUUACUCUAUGUGUGGAGAUGUUGUUUCCGUAUUUCAAACCCAUGAUCUUUAGGUCACGAUGGAGCAAUCUUGCCGCACCCCGAACCUGUUACCUAGGUCGACCACGUGAUAGGGUGAUGUAAACCCUAGAGUGAUGCCCUAGAGAUCAUGUAAGAUCUAUAAAAUAUUACAAAAUCUCCAAUAAUACUAGAAUAAUCAUAUCAAUCAUACAAUUCAACCAUAUUAAUCUAACUAUAUAAAUCCUAUCAUUAUUAAAUAGUAAAGUUUGUUUAGCAUAAAAAUUCAAAUGUUCACCUGAUAUCAGAAAAUCAACUAACUAAUAACUUUGAUGCUCAAACUCUACGCUCAACCCAUCUGAAACUACACAUCUUGUGGUUUUUUAAAAAAAUACAGUAGAUAGAUAUGAGUUUUUCAGCCCGGUAAGAAUCUCCAACCGUCACAUCAAUAAAAUAAAAUAAAUUAAUAUGAGUUUUUAGAUAUUGUUAUGGUAUUUGAUUCAAAACAACAUAUACAUAUUAUCAUCAAGUAUCCAUCUUAUCAAAAGAAAUAUUUAUAUCACAAAUACCAACAAAUUAAAUUGUUUAUUCAGCAAGGGUUCAUAUGCCUUAAAAUCCGUCUCUCAUUAACUUAAUUCCAGAUUCAAUAAUAAUUUAUUUUUCGAUUUUGGGCUAACCAAGAUCAUGCCUCAGUCCAUGAUUGAUAAAUAUAAAUUCCAUGAGUAAGCCUAUGAAGGCUAUCCUAUGCAUAAGCUCGUAGAGGCUAUCCCGCGCAUAAGUUCGUGGUAGCUAUCUCAUAUGUAAACCCAUGGAGAUUAUUCCACAUAUAAGCCCGUGGAGGCUAUCCAAUGCAUAAGCUCGUAGAAGCUAUCCACAUAACGAGGUUAGUCCAAACUACUUCUUAUGCAUCUGAUUAUUGCAUAUUGUUCUUGUCAAAGUGAUUCCAAUUUGUCAAUGUGUUCCUUACAAUUUCAAGAUAACUAGAAUCAUAAUUGAUAUAGCCAUAUUUUCAAUAGCUGAUACCCACAUAUAAUAAACACAUAAAUAUACUCAUGCCAAACAUCAUAUAAAAUGAUAUCAUCUCAUGCAAAAUUGAAUUCAUAGAUACAAAUCCAAUGAUAUAAAUCCAACAAUACAAAUUCAAUAGUACAAAUCUAUACAUAACAUAUACUGGUGAUCAUGUAUAAGGAUUUUUACCUCUAUUGACAACAAACUUAACACACUUAAGUACUAGCCCACAUCUUGAUUUAUGAACUGGGAUGUCAGAAUCCUGCUCAAUAUCUUUUUAUCCAAAAGAUUAUUCUCCUACAGAACCAAGUGCAAUAUUAAAAUAAAAACCAUAAAAUCAACUAUCUAAAACCUUCUAUUGGGGUUUAUCAGGGGUCCACCAUUGAGUCCCCUGAAUCUUUUCCAUCAAACUCUUGGAUUAGUUAGAGAGAGAGGAGAGUGAGAGGAAGAGAGAAGAGAGAGAACUCUCGCUCCUUUCUCAAAAUAGGAGAAAGUUCUCUCCCUCUUUCUCAAACAAAGGAAGGCAUGUAAGGCUUGGCUAGGUGACGACAACAACAUAGGGCGGUGCUCGACAGUGGUGGGCCAGUGGAGAGAAGACAAAAGAAAAAUGAGAAUAGGUGUUGAACCAAAUCAAAAUUUGGCCUAGAUCAUGGCCGACUCAAUGGUCGACUACCAUACCUCAUCAUACAACCUUAGAGGAAUUAGGGGGGCGGGGAUAUUGAUGGUCUCGGCAAUGAGCGGGGAUCACUGACGAUGAAAGAUACAAGAGGAAAAACAGGGGAGCCUUUAUUCAAUAAGAUUCUGGCGACUUGCCGGUUCACAUCAGCCGGCAACAGCAGCACUGGAAUUGGGAAAAGGAGGAGAAGGUAUAAGGAUGAUUACCUCGAUCUUGCGAGGUCUCAAAGAUCCGAGCUUGGGGAAGGCUUAACGGAAAGAAAACACACGGAAAUGGUGGAAACAACGAUGAUUGCUCGAGGAUUCAAUGAUGGAGUUCGCAGGAGGAAGAGGAAACCUUUUUAUAGAGGAGAUCCUAGGAAUUUAGUCGAGACCCGGCAUGUCAUAGGUCUCCCAUCUCCGCUGGACUCAGGAGAGAAGAAGACUCCCAGUAGGAGUCUCCUCUACGCCCUGCACGUGCGAUGCAUGCAUGUGUCCAACCGAGUUGGGCUGACCCGAUCCAACCGGGUUAUCAAUUUGGUUCAUAACAAACCUUAUUGUUGUGCCAAGGCUCACUCUCUCGUGCAUAUAUAAUACCAAUUAUUUGAAAAUUAGUAUGUGCCGUCGAAGAUAUAGGUGGAUACUGUGCCUCCUGCCAUGGUAAUGUCUUGAAAUUCUUCAGCAAAAUUGUCAUAUUUUGUAAGGAAAAAAAUUUAAUUUUUCAUUCAUUUUGACCUAUUUAGUGUCUUUCUUUAUGUCCUGUCCAUAUUUAUAUGCGUAGUUGCUUCAAACUAUUACCAACAUUGUUUAAUGUUGCUCGACCUCUCCAGCUAUAAACUUAUUUCCUUUUUGGGUAAUUAUCUACAUUUUCUACUGCAGUUGUGAAGCCUGGUAAAGAGCAUGCUGGAGCAACACUAGAGAUUCCUUCUGAAGAGAUUCUCUCUAAGUUGACAUGAGCAAAAUUUAGCUAAUUAGAAUGUCAAAGGCAACAACCAUCAAUAUCGCAGGUUAAGCAUCAGAUCAGUUGAUAUAUUGAAUAAGUGUUUCAUCUGAAUUAUAUUUGCCUGAGGAAACCAGCAGGAAUAUUUAUUCUUCUAGUUGAACUUUACACUUCAACUGUUUAUCUAACAGAACUAACAAGGGCAGAAGAAAGUAAAACUUGCUAUUGGGACUAGUUUUUCAUUUGUAAGUUGUAGAAGUUCAGGGGUAAAGGCUCAUAAUCUGGUGGAUCUAUAUUUUCCUAAGAGGUUCAGAAGGAAGCUAAGUGGCUGUUAUUUUUAUUUUUUAAUUGAGUCUUUGCUCUUUCUAUCUUGAAGCUUAUGUAGAAAUUAGCUUAUCUGAUACGGUUGCUGCAUUUACUUCUGCAAUGAGACGAGCAGACCAUCAUAAUAUACUGCUUGUGUCUCACUGUAAAUGGAUUUGCAUAUUGCUCUGUCCUUCAAUGCAGUAGCAGACUUCAUGUUUGUUCACUAAUUUCUUUUUUUUUUUUUUGCGAUGCNNNNNNNNNNNNNNNNNNNNCGUGGUUCCUCCGGUGUAGGAAUGAAUCCGUGCCUGUGAUGAGAGUACAAAAGUGAAAUCUUCAUAUUAUCUUAAUUAGUAUUAUAGUUAAUUUUUAUUAAUAAAAUUAAUUAAUUAAUGUUUUAUUUGUGUUUAGUGAAAUUAAUCCAAGAGACCCAGUAACUCUGGAUUUGAGCCCAAAGCCUGGCAUUCCGAGCUCAACAAAUCCUCAGCGUCUCAUCUGAGCCUCAAGUCGCCCGUCAUCCACAUGCAAUCCAUAUCACUGCAUCCAGCCGAGCAGGCAUCUCAACUUCCCAAGCUCUUUUGACUCAAAGCAAAACAUCCCAAGAGCCAACAGCCAUCUUCAAACUCGUCCCAGCCACUCUCUUCCCAGCGAACAAAUUCCAUCCAACUGUCCGUAGCAUCUCAAGCGUUAUGGCAUCAACGUCUACAACCCGCCUCAGCAACUACCCAUCCAUUCGCCUUCCGCAUGGCUUCUUGUCUUCCAACCGGAUCAUUCCAAGCAACCGUGGAGCUUCCCAACAUUUAUCUCCACCCCGUGUCUCAUCCGUUCUCAAAAUUUUGCAACGUUCCCAGCCGAAGAGUCUAAGCGAUUCGACUUCAUCCCGCAUCUCAAGCAACCGGAUCAUCCCCAAACCUCCACGCGUCUCAGCGGCCGCGCCUUCAACAUGCUAUAAAAGCCGGAGGAACCAGGNNNNNNNNNNNNNNNNNNNNNNNNNNNNNNNNNNNNNNNNNNNNNNNNNNNNNNNNNNNNNNNNNNNNNNNNNNNNNNNNNNNNNNNNNNNNNNNNNNNNNNNNNNNNNNNNNNNNNNNNNNNNNNNNNNNNNNNNNNNNNNNNNNNNNNNNNNNNNNNNNNNNNNNNNNNNNNNNNNNNNNNNNNNNNNNNNNNNNNNNNNNNNNNNNNNNNNNNNNNNNNNNNNNNNNNNNNNNNNNNNNNNNNNNNNNNNNNNNNNNNNNNNNNNNNNNNNNNNNNNNNNNNNNNNNNNNNNNNNNNNNNNNNNNNNNNNNNNNNNNNNNNNNNNNNNNNNNNNNNNNNNNNNNNNNNNNNNNNNNNNNNNNNNNNNNNNNNNNNNNNNNNNNNNNNNNNNNNNNNNNNNNNNNNNNNNNNNNNNNNNNNNNNNNNNNNNNNNNNNNNNNNNNNNNNNNNNNNNNNNNNNNNNNNNNNNNNNNNNNNNNNNNNNNNNNNNNNNNNNNNNNNNNNNNNNNNNNNNNNNNNNNNNNNNNNNNNNNNNNNNNNNNNNNNNNNNNNNNNNNNNNNNNNNNNNNNNNNNNNNNNNNNNNNNNNNNNNNNNNNNNNNNNNNNNNNNNNNNNNNNNNNNNNNNNNNNNNNNNNNNNNNNNNNNNNNNNNNNNNNNNNNNNNNNNNNNNNNNNNNNNNNNNNNNNNNNNNNNNNNNNNNNNNNNNNNNNNNNNNNNNNNNNNNNNNNNNNNNNNNNNNNNNNNNNNNNNNNNNNNNNNNNNNNNNNNNNNNNNNNNNNNNNNNNNNNNNNNNNNNNNNNNNNNNNNNNNNNNNNNNNNNNNNNNNNGAGAGAGAGAGAGAGGUCUACCUCAUCGUUGCGGAACCCUAACCCUACCCAGUGUUAUCAUUUGGAGUCCAUGGCGGCGGCGGAGCAUUGAGAGAGAAGGGUGAGGGAAGAGGAAGCUCCUAAGAGUAGAAUGGGGAGGGGAGAAUUGAGAGAUCGGAAGAGAGAGAAUGAAGAAUAGAGAGGGAGAGGAUUUGGAGGCAUUUAUAUAUUAAAAAAGGUACUAGAUCGAUUGGCCAAGCCGUCUCGGUGACCGUUCAAUCUAGUUCAAUAUUCCCUGAACUGCCCAGUUUGGGACGAUUUGGUGAUCCUUGAUUAUAAUGAAUGAAUGCUUAACUUAGUAUUGAAGACAAUUAGAACUUGUCAGACAUCAAGAACAAUGAAGACAGAAUCAUGUCUAGUUCAGUAUUCCCUGGACUCCCGGUUUGGGAUGGUUUGGUGAUCUUUGAUUAUAAUGAAUGAAUGCUUAACUUACUGUUAGUAUUGAUGACAAUUAGAACUUGUCAGACAUCAAGAACAAUGAAGACAAAAUCGUGUAUAGUUUUGCAGCUCUAGGCCAAAGCUAUUUUUCAUAUGAGCAGCUUUUUGUUAAUAUAUACAAGAGAUUCAUUGCUCUUCACUAAUCGAACUUUGGAAUAAGAUAUAUCAGUCAGUAUUAGUUGUAACGGUUCCCACUUUGGUUAGAGGUCAGCUUUAAAAAACUAGCUCAGAUUAGUGAUUAGAAUUUACAAAAUAGUUCCAAUAUGUAUUGUUGACUUUUAUAUCCUAGUUAGCUGCUCUAUGUGCAAAUCUAAUGCUGUUACUGGAAGAAAGAUUAACACACCAGUCUCCAGUGUCAAGUUCUAGUCCACCAAUAAUAGGGUAAAACUGUUCCUGCACCCUUUAAUUUAUAAAUAGGAAAUGAUUCUACUGCUACAAAAAUUGAGGGCUAAAGAUUAUUGAUUGAAAAGAUUUUCUGAGAAUUGGCAAAUAGCAAACAACUCAAAAGACUUAAAAAGAUUAUGACAUGAUGAGAUGGAUGACUGAGAUAUUAUACACAAACCCACAGAGAAGAGAUUAUGAGAUAACUUUGAAAUGUAUACUCUCAGAAGGAAAGUUAGAGACUUAAAUUACUAUAAUUAGGUUUUUUAAAUAAAAAAAAUGUGAAAGAGCUUGUAAUUAAGAAAAGAUUGAGAGAAUAGGCUAGCGAACAAGGAGAUCAGAUUUUUAAAGAACAGUCAAGGGCUCAACCUUUCUAUUUGCUUUAUUGAUCCUUCUGAUUCAAAUCAUUUUUGUUCCAGCAAUUUUCUCCCCAUCAUCUUUGUUAAUUCAAGUCAGUAACAUUAUCACAUUGUUCCAGCUUUAGCUUUUUCACAUUGCAUUUUGUUAUGUUCCAAUUAUAGAAAUGUCUCCCUUUCAUCAUAUUCAAACUACCAAUGAAAACUCCUCUUCUGUGUUUGAGUUUGACUCUUCGGUUUAUAAUUUAUGCCUCAUAUAUUAACAUAUAUAGUUCCCUGAUAGGACUUCAUCAUCUUUCUUGUCUUUUCCAAAUUUACGGCAACUUUGGAGGGGUGUCCCAAAUUCUACGCUGUUUUCCUACAUGCCACUGGCUCUCUAGCUGUUCUGUCAGGUCAAUUAGUACAGGUAGAUUAAAUUUCAUAAUAAAUUUCAGCUGUACAUUUAAGCGUGGUCCAUGUUCAGAACAGCAAUGCUUUUUAUGCUUCCAUACUAAAUGGGAUAUAUUUGAUUAUGGUACCAUUUCUGGCUUCCUUUAGGUGUGAAAUUUUAGACUGCAACGAUCUAUUUCAUCGUGCCACCACUGACACAGUUUUAGAUUGUAUGAAAGAAGGGCAGAAUGUGGUGCAGUGAAAUCCUUUAGUCUCCAAACCAGAAGCGGGAUGUUGAAAUGGUGAAAACUCAGAGGCCAUUAAUUUGACUGUAACUAAGAGGCCAUUAAAUUACUGUUAAGGUGACAAGAAAGAAAGAAAAUUGUCAGGCUUAUAAAUGAGGAUGGUACUCCCCUUAACUAUGAUAUAGAUUAGGGGUGUGGUCAGUCAUUGUGAAUCAGAAAAUUGGUAUAAGAUGUUCACGGAAUGAGGUCUAGGUCCUCAUCAUGCUCAGUCUCUAUGGAAUCUUCAUUAUUGAGAACAGCUGCUACCUAGAUUUGAGUAGCUUGUCUUUAUUGUAUUGCAUUUUUUCCUUUCUUCUGAAUAAGCCUUUCAACCUCCUUAAGCCAAGCAAUUUGGCUGACUGCCUGAGGAAAUUAACUUUGUUUUUUUAUUAGGCAAGGGUCACGAGUCUUUGUAUAGAGAGGACUUUCUUAUUUCAAGUUGGUGGACAUGAGUCUUAAUUGUAUUGUCGUAGUACGACCUACAGAAAAAGGAUAGAGGCUUUCUUAGAGGCUGGUUGCCUCUUCUGCUGAUAUUAUUGUUUAGAUGCUGGACCUUCUCUCCCGUGGUGGACUCCACAACCAUGUGCUAUCAAUCUUUUUUCUUCUUCCUUUAUGCAUUUUCUACAAAGCAAAAUGGACAAGCUUCAUUCAAUCUUAUAUAAAGCAGGUAUAUUUUUCUUAUUCUUUUAAACAAAUGACAUUUUAAAUACCAAAUUCAGUUUUUUUUGUUUUUCUAUAUCUAAAUUUAUCUAUCGCACAGAAACCGAACAAUUUCCUUUUUAUUAUUAUCUUCUCUCGAUUUAACCAUAACAUAACCAUCCAGCUUUGUCCAUCUAUUUGGCAUGUUGUAUGAAUACUCAUUUGCCAAUAAUUCUUAAUGAUGGCUACUUCAAAUGAUAAUUUUCUAGAUGGGACGAGGCUCAAAGUUUCAAUUUCUUUUAAUAACUUACAUAUACCUUACCCUUUAAUACUUCAACUUCACAAACUUUUCAUUUAAUUGUUUACUUUUCUUGUGAAACAAAUUAUGCUCCUUAAGCUUAACUAGAUCUUUUUUAUAUUGCACUAAUAUAACUCCUAAAUUUGUUACUAGAGGUUUUGGAUUUGAGUCUUGGGUGAUGCGUCCAAGUAUUUGAGACUGGAUAAUUAUAGUACGGUUGGGUUUCUGAAAAAAAAGAAAUCGUAAUUGCGUUACCAGAGACACAACGACAUUGAGAAUGUUGCAUUGCUUAAGGGAACAUUUUCCCAGAGCCAUCCUUUUUCUGUCGUGGGAUGUAAAUACUUGGCAUCCUGAUGGGAAAUAAUGAAAUUGUGUUUCUGCAAGCUAUACUUCUGCUCAUGAGGUGGGUCAUUUGUUGUGCCUGAGGUCAAAAUUCUCAUAAUCUUGGAUCUUUGCUUGGACACGGCCACACGGGGGAGCUGUUCUCUGAGAAGCAAUAAUGGAGUGUUUUUUGAACCAUUUUGAGGAAUGAAUUUUAUUCUGGACCAUGUCCUGAAACUUUCUGGUCCUGUCAGAGGGUUGCAAUCUUGAGAAAGCAGCAUUGGAUGACAUAUGUUGCCAUAGCUGGUUCUGGCCCAAAGCCGAGUUGGUUGCAAAGAAUAUUUGCAGUUCUGAGGCUCAUGGAUAAGAACUUUGGCAUGACUAUGGAGCAUCCACUCUCAAGUGCUGGUUGGAUUGCCCAUGCAAGAUAAGUUGGCUCAUGGAGAUAGAUAUAAGCUCUAAUAUUUUCUGAUAAAUAAUAAAAAUGAUUAGUGCUGAUAUUACCUUAAUCUAGAUCAUAAGCUCUUAACUGCAGCUCAAGGGAACCUGGUGAAAAAGACAUUUUCUUGAUUCUACAUUGGUGCUUUCAAAUCAUUCAGUCUUGAUGCAAUUCCCUUGUAUGAUAUCAUCUCCAAAUAAAGUUGCUGCCAAAUUAGCUUUUAGCUCGUUGGAGAUCUGGAACAUAGGAGCAAAACCUACAUGAGUUCUGUAUUAUACUUUUUCAUAUGGUUUACAAAUUGCCAUUAAGCAUGCCUCUUCUUCCAUAUAGAACAGUGGAGGUUAAUAAUGCCGAUCCCAACGACAUCUAAUCAGAUGCCUUAAUGAAAGUGAUACAGGUCAGCUUCCAAUCCAAACUGUAUCAUUCAUAGCCGACACCACCACUUUAGUCAAAAGUGGUUCAUAUUUUUAAGUGUUAAAUAUCUGCACCUUCUCUGAAAGGACUAUUAAUUUUUCUGAGCACUACUAGAUUCUUAUAGGUUGGAUCUUGGAAUGUUAUGGCCAUAGGGAAGGGAAUGGGCUGUCACUGAUGCAGAAUGUGAAGGUUACUGUGCCAAAAAAGUUAGGUAAUGGGGCUCGGCAUAUCCUUAUUAUCACACCCUGCGUACUUCUUGUUGUAAGCCACCUUGUGUUAUAAGAUGACAAACCCAGUACUAAAAAGAUUGUGGCCAUUCUGGAGUCCUCUCUUAGAUAGGACCAAAUGGCCAGGUUGUGAACUACUUGUUUUCUUUUAUUAUGUAAGAUUGGAAGUUAUCUUCAAUUAUGACUUUCUUUAGGAGAUAAUUUCUUAUCAUGGUGACUCCUCUGAUGAUUACCAACUGUUUCUUACAUAAAUAACUCGAUUUCGGAUGGUUGUUCUUGCAAAUAACCAUGCUAUAUCAUGAUAAAUUUUUCUAGAAAGUUAAUUUCAGCAGCAGAUCAUCCACAUGUAGCUUCUUGUGUGACCAACAAAUGGCCAGAUAUAACUUAUAAGUAUCACAAUAGAAACAAUUAACUAAAUUUUGAUAAGUCUAUUAUUUUUUAUCAUUUAUUAUAGUUGAUUAAUAGCUGUUUAAUUCUCCUCUCUUUCUCUCUCCCUUUCUCUAAUUCGUGCAUAGCUCACGGGAAUGUGGUAGGUUUCAGCGUACAGACAUCUGUUUCAUGAUGACGAUGACAUACUGGGUGACUGUCAGAUCGCACCAUAAAAUGAUCAGGUAUCCAAAUUUUUUUAAGUUGGCAUGGUUUUGCAGCCGCACGGCAACCCAAUAAUAUGCUAACGAUACGUGAAAACUGAAAAGCAUGGUUUUCUUUCUUUCUUUCUUUCUUUCUUUUUACCAUAGGAAAAAAAAGGCAGAGGGAGUCUUUAAGUGUCCUCCAAAACCAGAACUAGUUUUAACCUCUGUUGCAUCCUGUAACACUGGUAAUUAAAAAUGAAUUGCAACUUUUAUCACCAACCCUGUACUAGAUAAGAUUGAAGAUCCCAUACCCUGUACUACAAGCUUACAGUAUGUAAUUAAGACAGAAUUGCAACUUUUAUCACAAAAUGUCAUUGUGCAUUGACUUCUAUUAGUUAAGAUUGAAAAUCCCAUACUCAAACUUCAAGCUUAUGGAUCUUGGUUGCAACAAAAAUCAAUGAUAACUAUAAAAAAACGUUCUGCAGCCAUCUGGCUAUAAAUUUUCUAGAUUUAUUGAUUUUCUAUGGAAACAAACAAAUAAAAACUAUUUUUUUAGGAAAAUAAGUUUUCUAAGUAAUUUUCCAUGCAAACAAAUACUCUCUAAAGGGAAACAGUAUGUAGGGAAUUAAAGAGUAACUGAUCUAAAAGCAGGGAGUGGAUAUGUGAAAGAAGAAAAUGAGAUUGAUGCCAAGCAAAUUUGCGCAUCUCGAAUUUUCUAAUCUAUUAAAUUUUCAAUGUCAGUCCAAGAGAAACCACAGAAAUAUGAUCCUGAUGUUAUGUCCAUAGCCACCAUUGUGCUAUUGUCGCAUGUUUUCACUUAGAACGAAAAAUCUUAGAUGAAAAAUUGUAUUUUAAAGUAAAAUCUUAGAUUGCUUCAGAAUUAUUAUUGCGUGACGGCAAUCAUAUCAGUCCAAGAAAAACAACAGAAAUAAGGGUCCGUGAUGUUACAUCCAUGCCCAUUUGUGCUAUUAUCGGGCUCUUUCAAACAGUCUUCUAAACUGAAGAGGUUUACAUCUUAAGCUUAGAUGAAAAUUUUAAUUUAAGUAAAAUCUUAGAUUUGCAAUAGCAUUAUUAUUGUAUGACCAUCAUCAUGUGCCGUAUUCCUGUUUAUUCAUUUAAUAUGACAGUAAUUUAUUGAACCUACUAACUCUCAAAAUAACCUGGUGAAAUAUAUGGUAACAACAAGAAAACCCAAGAGUCUUAGUUCCAAGUCAAACAUGCCUCUUCAUUUCCUCACCUAUAUGAAGUUGGAUGAGGAAUUUUGAGCUGCCAUUGAUAAUGGCUUUUGCAUUAAAAGGCUCAUCUGUUGCAACAGUAAUAGCAAAAAAAAACCUAAUAGAAUCUCUCAGGGAUUACUUUCUGCUGCAUAGAACUCCCCAGUCAAUAAGUGAUUACAAUUAACUGAAUUAAGCAAGCCAGAAUAUGCUCAAAUUUUAACAUUAAAUAUUAUAAAGUACAUAAAGAAAGAAAUUUGUCCAUGACAUUAAAAUUUUAGAAUAAUGUCUCCAUCUAUAACGUGAGUAGCACGAUGAUAAGAAGAACAAAAGUAUAAAUGAGCCAUGAUAAAUAACUUCCUUGAACAGUAAAAAAUUAAAGAAAACGUAGCAGGGUCAAAGUUAACAGGUAAUCAAUCAAUGAAAUAUGAGAACAGAUGGGGGAAAACAUAAUUAUGAAAUAAUUAGGAAAGAUGAGAGCUGGAAAACAGAUAUCCACAUGAUUAGAAAAUAAUUUCAUAGGGGCAGUCGUGUCUUUCCAUCCAAAUCUCCUUCAGAGAAGGAAAAGAAACAAAUAUACAAAGUCCCCUCCCUUUCUUGGAGGGAAGAAGGCAGCCAAGCAACGGUCACAUUUUUGGUGUGUUAGCCUUGUGAAGGCGCGGGCCUCAUCAGUUUUGGAUUUUGUCUGCAGGCAGUCACGAGCGAAUGUUCCAUCCCACAUUCCAUUCCCUUUCCCAACACCUCUCUCUCUCUCUCUCUCUCAUAUCUUUUCUCCAAACUUGAUUCAGUAUCCCAAUUCUCCAACAGUUGUAGCUCCCAAGUCCAUGGCUUCUGCCUCCAAGUCUUCACUCUCUUCCAUCACCCAUUCCCAUCUCGACAACAGACUAGACUUAGACUCCAUUCUGUCCAUAGUAUCAUUGGUUAAUCUCCACAUUCGCCGCUUCCUCUCCGACCCUGCUGCUAGGAAGUCUCUCCAGCUCAUAUGCAACUCAAGUCUUACCAUAUCCGACCAUGGUUACUUUGAAUUCUCCGAGCAAUCAGUCCUUUCGAACCUCUACUGGGGAAUUGAGAACAUUGAGCUUGCAAUCCAGUCCAAUGGCCAAGAAGAAAGGAAUUUUUGGCUUGCGAAGGCUGAGCAGAUGUUACAGGUACCAGCAUCUCUAGAGGAGGAUGGGAGCACGGCUGGAAUCGAGAACCGAUUCAUAGUUUGUUGCUCCUACUUCUACCUCUCAUUGGUUCAGAAGCUUAGGGGGGAUGGGUGGCAGAUGACCAUGCACUUCCUCCAGUCAGUGUUAGUCUUCCCUCAGCUGGUUCGAAGAGAGCUUGCACCGGUCUUGUGGCGAAGACUUUUUGGCUCUCUGAUGACAAUUGAAGAUACCGAGGAAGCGGUGGAUGAGGCGGCGAAGCAGCAGGGGAGAAGGUACAAGGAUUGGUUGAUGUACUAUCAGGUGGUUUCAUAUGGGGAGACUCCUCCACAGAUUAAGGGAUGCUCGUUGGUCGAUACCUGUAACAGGGAAGCAGAGAAUCAACAGUGAGUAAUUCAAUUUACUAUAACAUUCCACAGACUGAAAACUGGAGUCUGGUUUUUAGGUACCGGCUUGGGCUUAAAUGUAGAUAAAUCUCACAUUUCAUUAUAAUGGUUAGGAUUUAAAAUGGCAAGUUAUGAUUCCUACUGACAUAACAUGGCACCAUGGGCAUGUUCAUACCCACUAAUCAGCUUUAAGCUUCUUGAGGAAAAGUUGUUUAAAGGAGAAAAAAAAAUUUUCCCUCAAAAGUUCUCUUUCUUUUCUGAACUUUCUCGAAUGCUGCCAAAUUGUUAAAACUUGUAGCUGCAUUAAAAUUCUCAUGGUAGCAAAUCCCACAACUCAAGAUAUUCUUGCAGUACUGGCACCAAGCAGGCAAAUGUACUAUAUGUACCUCAUGAGGAGAUUCAACAGUUGAUUCACCACAUGCAUAACUAUAGUUACAGAAUUUCCUCUACUAUUGGUGUUAUAUAGUGCAGAAGAUCCUAGAAUUUGAUUGCUACUUAGAAACCCCUAGAAAAAAAAUUACAAUCAUGAACUGAAGACUGAAAGCAUGAAAUCCAAUACUCACAAUGUAUGUUUUUCUCAGUUCAGCUUUUGAGUUGCCUCUGAUAACAUCUUGCAAGCAGAAUAUCUGGGCACUGAAAAUGGUGGAACGAGAUUUAGAGAAGCUAACUACUCCCUGCUGGUUCUUAUCCUUGGUCACUGUUCUUGAAACAGGUACACAAAUUUUGCAAGUACGAAAUGGUUUAACUACCUUGAACAAGCACCUACCUGGGCAAGUUUUCAGAUGGUAAGUAUGAAUGUUUUUGAAUAAUGCAGUAUUGAAAUCAGACGAAUUGACAAAUAGACUGCUAAUUUGCGAACAAUGAUUUCUGAAAAGAAAGGAAGAUAGAUAAGAACUUUAAGGUUACCAUAGUGUAUUAAGUGAAGAACAUAAUACAUGAAUUUAUUAAAAAAAUGUUGGAGUUCAUCUUCCUUACUUGCCUUCAGGAAUGUCAAUCUUAUGGUCCUAGAAAUUAGCACCUUGGGGCCAGUUCAAAGGACUCAUAUCACGCAUGGAGGAGGAAAAUGGCAUAAAUCCUAGAUGGUAUACAGCUGGUGUUAGAGAUUUUCUAGGGUCAUAAGCUGUGGAAACCAGAUCACAUGCCUAUUUUGAUCAUACAGUCAGAAGUUUAUACUUUAAGUAUCUAUCACUCCAUACUAACGGCAGAAGAUCCACUCCAGAAAAUGCAUUUCUAAUUUUGUUUUUCGUUUCACUAUUUAUUUAUAUGAAAUAACCAGAGGAUUUGAUGCUAGUUUCCAAAAGAAAAUCGUUCGCAAUGAGAAAUGCUGUCUUCAGGAAGAAGGCAUGAUCUAACCUUGAACAUGGUAUAUGGCAGUCUGACACUUACCCCAAACUACAAAGUCAAACUAUACCGUUAAAAUUCUUCUGGCAGACUGGCACCAUAUGAAAGGCUGCCAUAUACUCUGUUUAAGGUUCUGUAGCCUCUUCCAAGAAGGUGGCUAUACUAACUUUUCCUUUAUUUUCACUGUUCUAGCUACAAUUAUCAGUCGGGGAAGCUAGUUGGCUGCAUAUCCAUAUACAUAAAUGUCAUGUACUAGUUUUUUUGUUAAAAAAUGAUUUCACAUGCAAGCUGCACUGGAAAAUAAAUUUUUUUGACAUGUCCAGUUGAUGGAAAAUAACAAAGAACUCUAUGUCACCCUUAAGUUUGUCUGAUAUCCUAAUCCUCUUGUUUCAAUUUAGCAAACUAAUAAACACAGCCAACUGAAAAUUUACUUUAUAAACAAUUUACGCAUGCAAAAAUUGCCGAAAGGACCUUAUCACUACUUCUGAAUUUGUUUUUCAUGCAGGCUCAGAUGGUAUAUCAACCUAAAGAAAUUAUAGUUAUAAAAAAAAAUAAAGCCUCCACGGCCAAUUCAGAGGAAUGUGAAGAUUUUACCAAACCCAAAAAUGUAAACUCUCUUGUGACAAAUCUGGAUAAGAGUUUUCAUGAAGAAAUUAAGGAAAGCUUUGACAUCAGAUGCCUCCAAGAGAUGCUAGAAGAGUCCCAGUCAGAUUCACCAGUUUCCUUUUAUUCACAUGUUGAUUCUACAGAAACAAGUGAUUCAGAGGUAACACAUACGGACAUCCAGAUACACAUAUACAGACAUUGUAAUGUAAUUUGCAUGAUUUUUAUCUUUGAACUGUAAAAAUAAUAGUAAGAUAACUGGGGCCUAAACUGCUAGGUUAUUAAGGUAGGUUUUGCAAGCUGCGAGUUGCUUAAUCUUAAACAACACAGCCGAUAAGAUAAAAUUUGUCCUGCCUGCUGAUCUUCUAGCAUUCACAGAAGUCAUUCCUUUGUGUAAAGUUGGCUUGUUAAGGACCAGUAAACUAAUUCAGAAUGGACAAUUUGAGAGCUGUUCGUGUGAGGUUCUCAAAUUUUGAUGGAUAAAACAACUUGAUCCGUAGAACCAGACUCAAAAUUAGAUGAGAUAAGGCCUGCUAUUCAAUAUAUAUUUUUCAGUAAUUAUAACUCACUUGCAUGUGGAGUCAAUACAACAGUGAUGUAAAUACACAUCUUUGUGGCAAAGAUUAGAUUCUAGGAUCCAAUGAUAAAUUUCAUUACUAAAAUUACAAUAAAAAACCAACCUUGCUAUCAUCGGACAAGGACUUAUUCUAAAAAUAAAAGAAAAUUGAACAGAAUAGCAUAGUUUCCAGAUCUGUUAUUUUUUAAUGAUUACAAUUCAUCUGAAUCGGAUGAGAAUGCAGGGUAAAGAAAGUCCAGAAAAGAUUCUGUCAACAGAUGCAGAUCUUUCAGCAUCCAAUCAUGGUGAAAGGUAUGUCCAUACCCUAUUAUAUAGCAACUAUCAUCAGCUAUUACUGUAACAAGUUCCUAAUGAAAAAACUAUGAUACAAUCAUAUUGUGUUCUUAUGAUCAUUAUAGGAACUACCAACCUGGUUAUUCAUCUCCUCAGUGUCUAGAGUUAUAUGCUCCUGAUUCUCCAAGCUAUUCAAUGAAUCUGGAAGUCUGCAAAGCAAAUGCAAAUUGUCUAUUAUCUAGCAGAUCACAUAGUUCACUUAAUGAUUUAAGAUUUUCAAUCUUGGAUCGGGGAGAUGGGGAGACAUGCCCAUUUUCCUAUUGUUCUGUAGAAGAUGGGACACCUUCAGGAAGUUCACCACCACAAGACUUAAGAUGCUUUAGCAAUUUCUCAUCUAAAUUUAGAAGGAAAUAUAGCAUAUCUGAAGCAGUUCCUCGAGGAAGUUUUGCAAGGAGGAAAAUAAACUUUUCAAACAAUGAGAAAGACCGGAGUGAUGAAAGCUCGAGUUAUAGGAAAGAUAAUCACAUGGAACUGCUGGAAAGAUUUGAAAAGGCAUUUUCAACUCUAUGUUUCUCGGAAGGUCCAGGAAAAUAUGAAGAUGAUGAUUUGGAAGUUACAACUAUAGGGGAAAUAUUCAACACUAAGAAGAAGGUUAAAUAUAGCUCAGUAAAGCAAGGAAUCCUUGACCAAUUACUGGACAUCAUUUCAACUUCUAAAACGGAGAAAGUCAUUAGGGAAUCAGUAUCUAUGCUCUUACUUCUAAUAUCAGAAGACAAAGCAGUUAUAGAAGACAUUAAGAAAAAGGAUUUACUUCUGAAUUAUUUGGCCAAUGCAUUGAAGAGAAAUGUGCAAGAGGCUGCUAUUCUUAUCUAUUUGCUAAAUCCAUCACCUACACAGAUAAAAGGUCUAGAGCUUCUACCAGCAUUAGUUGAGGUUGCUUGCAACUCAAAUGGUCAGAAGGGGUAUUUGUCACUUACUAUAACACCAACAUCAGCAUCAAUAGCCAUGAUUGAAGUAUUAGUAACUGCCUUUGACUAUGUAACAAAUAACAUGCACUUGGGAGCUAUUAGUUCUCCUCAGAUUCUCUCUAAGCUUGUAAAUGUUGCCAUGAACAAGAAUUUAGAAGAAGGUGUGGCUUUGGCAGCGAUUCUUGUUAGGUGCAUGCGUCUGAACGGGAAUUGCAAAAAGUUUUUGUCACAAGUCACUCCUGUGGAUUCAUUCCUCUAUCUUCUUAGAAGAAAUGAGAAACGUGCCAAAUAUGCUGCACUUGAAUAUUUCCAUGAGAUUCUUCGCAUGCCCAGGUAUUUUCAUAUGUUUUGAAUUGCUUAUUUCAAUAGCUAAUCUCAAUUCACUUGUGUCCAUAUGUUUUUGUAUUUCAUAGAUGGGAUAUGUUAUCUAUAUGAUUCAGGUUUAGCUUUUGACUAUUUCAACUCUUCUUGAGGCUUAUUCAUUUUUUCGAAAAAUAAAUCAUCAACCAGAAACAGAAAUAGCUGUCUCAGAUAAUCAAAAGAAUGACAAUAUUAAACAUAGUACACAUUUAGAAUACUGCAAUUUUUGUAUAUAAAAUAUUUAAUACAAGUUAGCAGCAUAAUAUAACUAAUCAAAUUCAUAUAAAGGUAGAUAUGCGAAUAGGAUGGUUCUGGGAUAUGGAUUUCCAAAACUUUCAACGGCCAGCCCCAUUACUCAAACCAAACAGUGUAAAGUUCUCAGUUGGUCCAUUUGCAUCCCUGUAAUAAAAGGUUUCAGUGAAUCAUAAAUCCAAAACCAUCCAAUUCUACAUUAAUUGUGAUUGCUUCUCUGCAUGUCUCAAUGACAACAAAAAUUUAUAACUACAUACAAAAAACUAAAUGUUACAAUGCAAGACAUAAAAGAGUGGGGUGAAUAUUAGAUGCUCUAGCAAUAUACAGCUGGCUGUAGACCAUUAUGGUUUCCUUCUGUUUUAUCUGGAAACUGUUUUUGUUCCUCAUAUCUUAGCCAAAUAAUGAGCCGCAGGACUCAACCCAGUAAAAAUUAACCUUUUGAGUUUAAAAUACAAAAUCAAAACAGAGUACACAUCUAUAAUUAAUUGACAUUAAUGAACUUGCUAAGUACUAGUAUCCUAAUGUUUCAGGUCAUCAGCCAUUCAUUUGCUCCAUCAGAUACGACAGCACAGAAGCUUCAGCAUUAUGCACACGUUAAUGGCGUGUAUCCAACAAGCUGAACCUGAAUAUCGACUUUUGGCAGCAAAUCUUCUGGUUCAAUUGGACAUGCUGGUAUAGUUUAUUCAGUGGUAUACUUCAAAGCAUUCAGUUAAACAUAUGAAGAUAUAUACAUCAUUGAAAUGCAAUUUCCAUCAACAGAUUGUAGACUAUAAUUUUCUAUUGUCAGUUCACUAGAAAUCUAACCUCUCAUGGUUACUUGAGACUUCUUUGCUAUAAACACUGAAAAUCUUGGCCUUCUGCAGAUCAAAUUCUAAACAUUUUUCCACCUUGUAGAUAUCCAUGCAUUUUGAUCAGAGUGAAAUAUUUUGAAAAUUUUAUCUGUAAACUAAUCAGGCAGUUCUCAGCCAUUAUAAUGAUCAUGAAGGAUUUGUGAUUCAUUGAAUCAUUUUCAUGUUGUCUCAGACAGUGAACCACUGCGAAGUGCCUCUUCCACAAUUUAUACCCACAAUUUAUAUGAUAUCUUAUCAAAUUAAUAUUCUGAACAUAUAAUAGAACUAUAUCAUUUUUUUUUUAAACAUUAUAAUUGUCUACAUGAUUCACGAACGAGAAAAGUUUUCUUUUCUAGGAAUAGAAAAAAUGUUAGAAGCAGGAAUUGACAUUAAAGAAACAAAUCUAUCGCAGGAACAUUCAAGUGGCAACAGUGCAUUCAGAGAAGAGGCAAUUGAAAUCCUAUUAGAGUCAGUUGCAUCAGAAGAAAAUUGCAGCACACAGACACUGGCAGCAUUUAUUUUUUCAAACCUUGGAGGGACUUAUUCUUGGACAGGGGAACCAUAUACAGCAGCAUGGCUAGUAAAAAGGGCAGGUUUGGCAUCAGUACAUCAUAGGAAUAUGAUCAGAAAAGUUGACUGGUUUGAUCCCUGUCUACAGGUACUAGUCAAACAAUUUUCAUCCAUCCUAUUUACAACUAGAACCAACCAUCAUAUUGUAGCGUUAACGUCAAGGUCGGCGGAACCAUCCCAAACCGUACUGACCGCAGACCGGGAUGGUUCCGGAGACGAAAACGAGACUGGCACCGGAGGGAGAGAAGACGAAGGAAAAAGAGGAAGAGAGAGAGAGAGAGAGAGAGGCGGGGGGGGGGGAGGAGGGAGGAGGGAGGAGGGAGGANNNNNNNNNNNNNNNNNNNNNNNNNNNNNNNNNNNNNNNNNNNNNNNNNNNNNNNNNNNNNNNNNNNNNNNNNNNNNNNNNNNNNNNNNNNNNNNNNNNNNNNNNNNNNNNNNNNNNNNNNNNNNNNNNNNNNNNNNNNNNNNNNNNNNNNNNNNNNNNNNNNNNNNNNNNNNNNNNNNNNNNNNNNNNNNNNNNNNNNNNNNNNNNNNNNNNNNNNNNNNNCUCUCUCUCUCUCUCUCUCUCUCUUUUUCUCUCUCGUUCUCUCUUCCUCGCCUCUUCUACUGUAUCGGUACAGGCCCGGAGCAGCCUGUACCGACUUGUGCCACCGGGCAAUUGGUAUGGUGCCUAGUACUGGUUUUGCCGACCCUGGUUAACGUACAUAAUGUGUUGCUUCAAUUUGGUGAUGCAUUAAACUGAAAUAGAACAUAUGUGUCUAUUUUUGAUAUAGUAGACGAUAUUUAUGCAGGACUCCGAAACAAAUGCAUGGAGUGCCAAAACUGCAAAAGAUGUCAUCAAAUUUGGUUGUUCCAUCUUUAAUGCUUUGGCAAGGGGAGUUCAGAGCAAGAUAAAGAGUGUUUCACAUGGCUGUCUUAUAUGCAUUGCAUGGCUUGGAAGUGAAAUGGCAGUUAUGGGUCCAAGUAGCCUCAGAUAUUAUGCCUGUGAGAUUUUGUUAAGUGAAAUAGCACACUUCCUCCAUCCAGGGUCAGAGCUCGAUGAGCGAAUUCUAGCAUGUCUUUGUGUGUACAAUUACACAUCUGGUAAAGGUAAUGGAGUUUUUGACAGUUACAGUCCCUCAUGCACAGAGUAGUAGCAAAGUCUCAAUAACUCAAUUCUACACUGAAAAUGCUUCUGAUUAAAAACAAAUAGUUCUAGACUAUUAUAGUUAUGAUUUACAUACUUCCUCAAAGGUAAAAAGCUAGCAGCAUAUUACCACCUAAGAGAUACAUAACCCCAACCACCCACCCCCCCCCCCCCAAAAAAAAACUAUUAUCACUAUGGUUUUGCAUUCAUUUACUAAGAAAAUAGGAACCUUGAGGUGAUAAGAACAACUUAACCCAUCAAAAAUACCUUCAAAAACCUUAUACAUCUAACUUUGAUUCCUUUAAAAUUUUAACAUGCCACAGUGGUGAUUUCAAAAGUUCAUGCGUUCUGUUUAGAUUAAGCGUAUUGUUUUCCAUAUUGAAACUGUAACCUUUGCUGGAUUUUCUCUAUAUGCAGGAAAGCAGAAAUUAAUGAACUUCUCAGAAGGUUUACAAGAAUCACUUAGACGUCUCUCAGGUUACACAUGGAUGGCUGAGGAAUUACUAAAAGUUACAGAUUAUUUUCUUCCCACCAAACCAGUGAGUGCAGUUGUUAGUUUUUAAAAUUGUUACAUAUACGUGGAAAAGUGAGAUUAUAACUCUUAACAUUGGUAGUGCAAACUUAAGAAACACUGCAAGAUAACCAUUACAUAGUAGUAAUGGCUGCAUAUGAUGUGUUACAACAGUCUGAUAACUACAUUUGAAAUUGUGGCCUAUGGUUUAACUUCACAUACAUGCAAGAAACUACUUGAAAGUGAAACAAAUUCAUUUAAAGUUUUAUCCUUGGAACUAACAGAAAUUAAGGAUGUAUAAGGUCCUUUAAGCAAGUAAAUCAAAAACAUCAACUGUUGCCAAGAGGUUCUAGUCCUCUCACAUCAACCGCAUUUCUAUCUUCUUGAAACACAUUAGACUUCUCAGCUUUCAUGUAGAUAUGGAGAAUUAGAAAUAUUUUGAAACAGAAAACUGAAAAUUCUUUUAUAUGGUCUUCUAUAAGUGACAAUUCCCAGCAAACUCUAGUACUUGAAAAAUCCCACACAGUUGUUCAAGAAAGCCAAAUAAACGCCUUAAAUAUAUAAUGCCUCAGAUAAAGCAUAACAAUUGUUUAAAUUAAUAAGGGUACUUAUAAGAAUCUACCUUUCCGAUCUAGUUGUUGGCAUAAUACUUAGAACUGCCAACAGAAUCACGAGAAUGUAAAAGAAAUUAGAAUGCUUAUAGUAUGAAAGGCUAAAUAAUUGAAGAUAUCCUAAUGUAGUGUCAUCUAAAUAUACCUUUAACUUAUUAUUAUAUUAUAAUUUGAUAUAUGAAAAUACAGUUACCUCGAAUUAUGAAUGAUGGACACAACAUGAUAGGCAAUUCCCAGUUUAUUCAAGCAGGGCAAAAGUAACAGGAAAAAAGCACUUUUUGAGAUUGAUAGUUUGGUUAGAUAAAGGAUAGCUAACUUCGAGGGGGGGAAAAAUCUUGAAUUAACUGUUCCAGAUGAAAGAUGUUAGCUUAUUGCAGAACAGCCUACUCAGAUUAGCCGGUUCUAGAUCCCAUAAUGAGGUCAAAGAACUUUUGAUUUAAUUCACCAUUCUUGCAAUGCCAAGCUUUAUUAGAACUUGAAAGCAUUACAGUACCUCUGAAUUGAAAUCACAGAAAUCUGAAUAUCACAUAUUUUUAAAACAUGCUGAACUUCAAAUUUAGAUUACCUUUAUGACAUCAGUUAUUUUGUUAAUAUCAGCUUCAAGCCUUCAAAUGUCCAAUGGAUGCCAAUAAUAAGAAUACAAAGAAAUUAUGCGAUUCUUGUUAAAGAUAUUUCUAUCAUAAAUAUAGAUAACAUUGGAAGGCUCUUACUGCAAAAGCAAUACAUAAGUCACUCUACUUCUGAAAAAAUAACGGUGCAUUAGCACUAGCAAGGCAUUAACUAAACACCUGCUCAGAUGCCAACAUAGUAACAGAAAUAUAUAAUGAAGGAACUCUUAGAUAACAUUUGCGCAAAGAUUGUACAUAUAAGUGUGAUUUCCAUGCUUUGUAGUUACUAUAACACUAUUAGCAGCAGACCCUUACUAAUGUCCUCCGAAGCACAGAUCAAUCUGUCAAUUAGCAUGAAAUCCUUGCAACAUGUUUUUUUAUGUUAAAUAUAUUUUGAUGAAUGAAAGUAAAUAGUCUUGUUUCACAUUUUAAAGGUCUACAAUUAUGCUUGCAUAUUUCCUCUUCAUCUUACUGUUACUUUAAUUCUCAAAUUAAGAUUCAUUGGCUUUUUUACUACUCUGUAAUAAGAAUAUAUGACAUUGACUCACUAGUGCACAUCAUCCAUCUAACGAUGGCAAUUGCAGCAUGUGUCAUGUGCACAUACACAAAUUCUGGAAGUAGGCCAUGUUGGAAGCGGAGCUGCAACUGCUCUUAUUUUCUACAAAGGACAGCUUUGUGCUGGAUACUCAGAUGGCUCGAUUAAAGUAAGGAUAUAUUUGAGACAGAAUGUUAUGUAGCUAUCAUUUUUGACAAGUUCAGAGUUACUUUGCAAUAUCACAUAUUCCCAAAUACUAUAAAGAUGGAAAAAGAAUUGUGCUGUAUGCAGCUCUAGCCAAGAUGAAAGAUUUGAUCAGAAGCAGACAUUUGAUCUUAUUGCUAUUAAAAAAUGUUAUCUUGUAACAAAAAUGGAAAAAGAAAUGCAAAGUCAUCAUGUCAAAAUGAUGACAGAUUAUAUCAAGUAUGUUACGAGCCGGACAUAUUUUUUAUUAUGCCAGAAAUAUUUGCUACUUGUCAAAAUAAUAUGCGAAAAUUUCAUCUGUCAUUAUAUGUCAACUUAUAAUGCCUAUCAAAAUAUGAAACUCUAAUAUAUUUGAUGAAUCAAAUCAGGUCUGGGACAUCAAGGGACAAAGAACAAUGCUCGUAUGGGAGGCCAAGGACCACAAAAGGCCCGUAACCUGCUUAACACUUUUUGAACCAGGGGAUAGCCUUUUAAGUGGAUCCUCUGACAAAACUGUUAAGGUAACUGAUCCCAUCAUAUAAACAGACUAAGGAUUCAUUAUUAAAAAAUAAUAAAAGAACAAGUAAUAAAAAGCUCUUUUUCAUUUACAGGUCUGGAAAAUGCUACAAAGGAAGUUAGAAUGUGUUGAAGUUAUAGAGAUGAAGGAUCCCAUUCAAAAAGUAGAAAGUUGUGGUGACAAAAUUCUUGUAAUUACACAGAGCCAUGGUCUCAAGGUAAAGGUCAGCCUAUUCUAGUUGCGACUAAAGUGUACACUUUGUACUACAGGGUUCAGAUUCUGUAAUCAAUACAUUCAAGAUUCAGGAUUAGCUACGGUGACAUCCAUAAGCAUAGAAGCUCUUUUUUUCCUUGUUUGUCACCUUUGGAUAAUUGUUCAGCGUGCUUCACUCUAUCAGGACUGAGAAAUGCAAUUUGACAUCAUGUUAGAGCAAUAUUUUAUAGGUCUGCCAUGAAUCAAGAAGCAUCGAGACUACAUGCAAGAAAAAGCAUGUUAAAUGCCUAACAGUUGUCCAGGGAAAAGUUUACCUUGGUUGCACAGAUUCAAGUAUACAGGUUGGUUUGAUGUUUGGACUUCAUAUGAAUUCAUGAAUAUUUCAUAGCAUAUAAGAAUCGUUUCAUUAUAUUCAUCCAAGCCUUUUUUCAUCAGAAGAUCCAACCAUUUAAAGUGUAACUGAAAUUUCCUUCAGGAAGUAGAUAUAAUGGCAAACUAUAAAACAGAGAUCAGACCGCCUACAAAAAGCUGGAGAAUGCAAAACCAAGCGAUAAACUCUAUUCUGGUCUAUAAAGGAUGGGUUUACCAUGCAGGUGUUGCUGUUGAAGGAUCGAGUAUAAAGGUACGUAUUAUAAUAUUUAACAUAGGAACAAUUAAAAGGAUCAAAGCAAUCAACUAAUUUAAUCUGAGAAAAACUCAGGAGUGGAGAAAGUGCUGCCGACCUCAAAUUUCAAUAGCGAUGGAAAGGGGAACAAAUGUGCAAGCCAUGUCAGUAGUGGAGGACUUCAUUUACUUGAACUGCAGCUCAUCGCCAAGUAUUAUUCAGGUGAUUGUCAAGCCUAUUUAUUGAAAUUUUCUUAAUAUGAAUCUUGUCAUAUACUUGCAAUUUGGUUGGUUAUAAUUGGAUGAGGUAAUGUGCAACAGAUUUGGUUGAGAGGAAUGCAACAGAAAGUAGGUACAUUAGCAGCAGGUAGCAAGAUAACAAGCCUCCUGACAGCAAAUGAUAUUAUCUUUUGUGGUAGUGAAAAUGGGUUGAUCAAGGUGCGUUAAGCAAGCUAAUUAGCAUUGUAAAAUUAAACCUCCAAAUAGCGUAUCUUGCUAAUAUUCUUACCCUAAUUACACAUGGAUGACAGGGCUGGAUUCCUCUCUAAAUACACUGGAACAAUGAAUGUGGGAGCUACAGGUUGUAAAUUUUUCAAUACAACUAGGCAGAGAGAAUGUAGAAAGGAUAGGAUAUUGUGAGUUAAUUCAGUUCACAAGACAUAAAUAGAGUAUUUCAUGACCAGCAAUGCGAAUGAGUGUAAGUGAAAAAAAAAGUUGCAGGGUUGCUUUGUUGUUGAUGAAUAAUGGGCAUGCAUUUCUUAAGCUUCAACUGUAUGUGUAUUAAAGCUGAAGAUUGAAAAUGCAGUUGCUUAUAUGUGUAUCAAGGAUGGAUAUUGAAAUAGAAUGGUUUGGCAACUAGACAAGAUAAAACUUAUCUAUCAUGCCUCUGCUUGUUGAGCGAGGAAAAUUUUUUCAUUCAACGAGGCCACUGGAAUGAUGAUAUCAACCUUGACAUGCUCCCCCUGGGUAUACUUAAACCUAGCUUGUGAAUACUGUUUUAACAGGCUAUGUAACAAAAAUCAACUCCACUGGUUUUGAUUUGAAUGGUUAAUACCAGUUACAUAAGCAUUGUUCUUUUUUGUUACUUUUAUCUUCAAUCCAGUGACAGAAUAUGUGAACUGAGAAAAGCUAUAACUCUGUUAAACCAUUACUGUAUGUCAGAAAAAGGAAAAUGAAAAGGAUGAAAAAAAGGCAAAAGAAGUCUCGAGUUUUCUACCAAACAUGGGACCAAGCAAUGUGAGUUAAGUUUCUUACCAAUAACAGAUUGGCAAUGCUUCCUAGCAAGAAAGAGAAAAAAAAUUAAAUGUUAUUGGAAAAGUAUUGAGAGAUAAGAACGAUAAACUCUUAAAAAGAGGGAAGAAGGACAGGGAAGAAGAACCUUAUCAGGUACACCAGAAGGACAUAAAAGUGAUUUGAAAGCCUCUCUUUUGACAGUUGGACAAACUCUCCUUUUGCACAUAAAAAUGAAUCAUAUGACCAAAAUAAUCCAAAAGGAUUUUUUACAGCACAUGUUUCUUUUUGCCCGGUAGUUCUUCUCACCAAGAAAGAAAUAAAGCAGUCAUAGGAAUUUUCCUUGGAACAGAGGAUAAAUUAAAUACCUUCAUGCUCAGGUAGGCAGGUAGCAUAAAGAGAUGGCUCAGCUGGCUCAUCAUGCAAUUAAAUUAUGUCUUGGAUACUGAGGUACCCUUCGUAGCUUUUUAUUUGCAAAGAAGGGUCGUUCAGAAACUAUUCUCCUUCUUGUGCUUCUUCUUCAUCCACUUUUUGAUUUGCUUCAGUAGCUUCUUUCCCUAUAAAGAAAAGAGUCAAAAAACAGAGAAAAAAUUUGUUUAAUAUCAGUGAAUAAUAAUGCUAAAGUGAUGAACCAGGUAACACAAUGAAAGCUGCAGGAGUGUGCCUCUUAUCAGACCACACAUGCCUAUAGAAAAGCAAAUGGUGCAGCUGAUUGAGUUGCCUCCUAUACGGCUCAUCAUCUGGAGGCUUCAUAUGGAUGGAGCAUGACAUAGUGCUGGGUUCUUUAUCUGCCCUGUUGUUUACUAAUUUUGUUGGCCCCAUCCACACUCGUAGGAUGUGAGCCGCCGUUGUACUAAAAAAAAAAAAAGCUGCAAGUGUAUCUAUGCUUUAACAAUGAGCUAAAGCUAAUAAGCAGAAUAAACCAUCACAAUGCAUGGCGUGUAACCGGACCUUAUUGUUCCAAAAAUAACAAAUCCAUUUACAUGCUCCAUAAAUAGUACCCUUGAAGACAUGCAAAAUAAUCUGUUUUGCUAUAACAUCAUCAUGGACUCGAGCAUCUCAUCCUCUGUUAUCCAUGAGAAAAAUGUUGGAAAAAUUAUGACUAAAUCAUAGUUCUUGAGCCAACAGCAAGUUAUAUCCAAAAUACUUCCUGCCUAAGAUGAAAGCUGCUAGUUUUCAAAUACGAGCUUAUAUAUGGAUGACUAUUUUUAUCCUCAGUGUAAAAUAUCUUGGCCAAAGACUUAUGCAACGUACGUAUUAUACAAACUAUUAGGCCUGAAGUGAGAGGGGAUUUUCAAGCUCUUGGCUUAUUACCUGACGUAAAAAAGUUGCUUCUCUGCAUGACACAUAUCUGGCCGAAUUCUCCAAUAUGCCCUGAAAAAACCCGGUGGAAACUAUUAGGCUCUAGGGCCUUAUUGGAUCCUGUUGAUCUGAAUGUCAACUAAAUCUCAUCAUAUGUAGCAUCUGCACAAUGCUUCGUCCUAUCAAUAUCAUUUAAACCAUGUCACUUGUGGCACUUUACAGGUCAAAUUUGUAUCAAGCUGAUUCCAUCUUUCUUGGGGGGAAAAAAUCUAUUCUAAUAACUCUGAUAUGUUUUUCACUUUCAAUAACUUCUGUUACAUUGGAAAUUGAUAAGAUUCUAUUGCACACGUGCCUUAAGAUUAUAGAUCUGUGUUCCAAUCUCCAUUUUUGAUCCAAUCUACCCUGGAUUUCUGCUGCCAAAAUCUAUUGUGUUGAAGAAGUAUAUGGUACUAAGAGAUGAGUGAUCCAAGUGCUUCAACUCUUUUGAUAUAAGCCUACCUCAUCAAACUCUGUAUUAAAGUAUAAAAAUUAGUUUUUCUAUAACUAUAUGAAUAGGGAGAGAGACUACUUGGAAGAUGUUAUUUGAAUUUUUUGGUUGUACAUUUCUCCAGCACACAAUUAUUGUGGGACUAAAUACAUGUUUGCAUCAGCUCUCACAUACUUCUCUGCUUAUAUCUUAGCAUUCUCGCCAGGCUAAAGAUUUAAAUAUAAUCAAAUCUUAUUAUAAACACCAAAUAGGCCCAGAGUUAUCCCCAAGUCUAUAAGGACCAUUGGUCAGGUUUUCUUUAAUAUCAUUUACAAUGAUCCAUGAUCUUGUCCAAAAAGACUAUAUGGAAAAUAUUAUUUGUAUUCCUUAACCUUGUAUAAGUAUCCAAGAUCUUUAUAAUAUAUAACUGAUAUUAGACUAAAUACAUGCUGGCAUAAAUCCUCACAAUUAUGCAGUUAUAUAUUUUCAAAAAUCCGAAAGGCAAAGACCUCCAAGGUAUGUGGAAAAAGAUGCGAAGCUACACGGGGCAAAUGCCAACUCCAUCUUCUGUGGACAAUGCAUCAACCUACACGGGGCAAGUAUGCACUCCACUCCAUCAUCUGGAAUAAUAGAGGUAAUUAUAUGACCUCAACCACCACCCAAUCAAUAUUAAAUCUUUCUCAAAUCCUCGCCAGACCAUCAUGAUUGUUACACCAUGCGAACUUUGGCCUGGAGCAACACACCUCAACAGGACCAUUGCUCUGGAGAAACUCUCUGAUUUCAUUUGAUUCCAAAUCAUCAACAAAUGGCAAUCCUUAAGAUGGCACAAAUUAAAAUCAUCUGCGAGGAAUGUUUGAACUGUGGAAUCCUUAAGAUAGCAGAAAUUAAUUCGUUCCACAUAUUUCUCCCAGUGAUUCCAGAAGUGCUUGUGUAAAUUGCCACCAAACCCAUACAUCACUCGGUUGGAAGCUGUUGCAAAAUCCGUAGUAUCAAUUCAUCAUCUGCACCUCGUCGGAGCAACUCAAGCCCAUCCUCUUCGUGAUGCAGCUCACUCACAUGCAUCACGUAGAAAAGAACCCCUGUACCUGUUCUUGCCUCAGCAAAAGCACCAAUCUUCCUCGAUUCUUAACCAUAAUUUUCCUUUCCAUCGCUUCCUGUUGUCAUCCUAGUAUGACAGGACGUAACAGGCCCACUACGUCUCCUUCACGAGAAGCUCACCUCCUCCCUGGAACCUACGCCUUCCAUCCUCCCCCUUUCCAUAUCGUACGCCAACUCUUCCCCCCUUUAUUGCACUUACCACCUUCUCGCCACACACCACAUAUAGCUCCCACCUGUAAAGCCCAAACCCUACCCCCAACCCACCUAUAAAGUUGACCCCCUCAGUACUCUCUUUCUUCAUCCACUCACAAACCAUGGCCACCCUACCCCUCUCCCCUCUCCUUUUCUUCGUCACCAUCUCAUCUCACCUCGCCUCCUCAACUGCCGCCAGCGCCCACUACCUCGAGGCUGCAUGCAACGUGACGCGGCACCGCGCCCUCUGCAUGCGCUCUCUCGAAUCCUUCUCCCACUCAGCAGCCUGGAAGCAGAAGAACCCAUGCUGGUGGGCGCGCGGGGCGGUCGCCGUCACGCUGACCGAGGCCAACGACGUCGGCCGCUACCUCGCAAAGAUGAAGCAUGGCGGAAGGACGCGAGGGGGGAGGGCCGGGAGGGCGAUGGCGGACUGCGUCGAGUGCUUCGGGGAUGCAGUGGCGGAGCUCCGCAGCUCUCUCGGGGAGCUCCGGCGGCUGGAGAGGGGGACGUUCGAGUACCAGAUGAGUAACGUGGAGACCUGGGUCAGCGCAGCGCUCACCAACCAGGAUACUUGUCUUGAUGGGUUUGGUGGGUACAAGGGGAAGGAGGUGGGGGAGGUGAAGGCUAAGGUCCUGAAUGCUACGUAUCUCACUAGCAAUGCAUUGGCUCUGGUUAAUAACCUGGCGUCUUCUGGAGCCUGGAGGAAUUAGCUAAUGAUAUCUUAAGAACUACUAUAUAUCUUGAUCAAGAGGAUAUACUAGCCUUUAUGCUUAUGCGUGAUUUAUAAAGGUGUAUCAUGUUGUAUAUUGUUAUCAUUUACCUUGUCAUGACAGCUAUAUAUACAAAGGUGCAGUCGUUGGAUGCUGGGAAUAUAUGGUUCUGAGGAGAAUAGUGAUGCUGUGAUCUACGUUACGUUUUAAUUGGAGAAUUAAGAUAUAUAUAUGGUAAUUGUGCUAAUGUGACCGAUAUUAGAGACAUGUUAGUUUGGCAUGUAUGUCUUUAUGCAGCUUUGACAAGGUGAAGACGUAUUGAAGUGUCCACCUAGCUCAGAGUCUUCCAAGCAAGAGGAUCGCCCUUGAGUGACUCUGACACUAGCAAGGAUCAGAUCAUUGACAUGAAAAACCCCAUGCGUUAAUGAAUAUAUUUUUUUUUACUUUUGAGCUACGUUCGUGAUUCGUAGAUCAAUGUUUUAACUUGCGUUCAGGUGAAGGUUUCAUGAUUUAGAUUUAUCGAUGCCUGAAAACAAGAUUUUCGUGCUAUGCCUUGUAUUUGGAAGAAAUAUGAUAAAUUAAAGAUUUUCCAAUUAAAAAAAAAGGAAAGAUAUCUUGUACCAUAAGAGAUCAAAACUUUGCUCAAUUUAUCUCGCUAAAUUAACACAGUAGAAUUAACAAUCUAACAAAAGAAAUUUUAGAUUGAUGCAUCAUAUUUUGUAGCGCAUGGAAUGAAUGAACCGGGACUUUGUUUGAUACAUUAGGUCAAAUCUUCCUUUUCUUUCUGCAUAAUUAAUGAAUAUCUUAGAUAAGGUCCAUUUGAUAGGAGCUCAAGUUUGUACACAAGUAGGGUGGGAAUUUAACUAUGCAUGCCAUGCAAAAGUUUAUGCAAAACUUAAUUGAUUGUGAUGAAGUGGUGCUGUAAUCACUAAUCUAAGUCAUAAUGAUAAGUAAAUAAUUUUUUUUUUGAAUUCUUGGAUAUUGUUAAGCAUUUACCUCUCUUCAUUUAUACCCUUCAUCUAGUAUAUGUACAUGAACUCUUUAACUUCUCAUCAAUGCUAAGCGUACAUACUAGGACNNNNNNNNNNNNNNNNNNNNNNNNNNNNNNNNNNNNNNNNNNNNNNNNNUUAUAAAAAAUAAAAUAACUACAAAAAUAAGAGAGAAAGAUGAAAAUCAAAAGUAAAAAAAAAGAAGAGGGAGAUGAAGCAAGAAAGGCAAGGAAGCUAAAAAACCAAGCCAAAAUGCAUUGUCAAGGAUUAGGAAUGGAAUCUGGUGAGGCUCCAGUUCAAAGCCAAAAUAUGCCUUACCCGGAUCAAGCCUAAGCUGGCUAUAGAUCAAAGCUUACGACGGUGCCGAGAAUGAAGACAAGGGCAUCCAUGCUCUCCAUUGAAAGCAAGCGAGUUUACCGUCGUCCACUGGUAGGACUAGGGCAUCAUGAUCUUAUAAACCAUAAGGUGGAGGGGGGAGAGAGAGGGCGGGCCAGCUAGACCAUUGGGCCAAGGCACUAGAUGUGGGGGGAGAGAGAUCAGGACUGAGAGGAAAGAAAGAGAGGAGGUUGCUGAGAGGGGUUUGUGAUGGUAUCGUACGGAUCAUCAAAGUAUUUACAGCGAAAGAUAAGAAUAUUUGUUCAUGAUAUUACCGCACAAAAAAGUAUGCAUAAGGGUUAAAUUAAUUUGUACUUUCCAAUAGUGAUGAAUUGAAUGCAGAUUUUUACAUUUUUGGGAGAUGCCGAGGUCGCAAAAGUAUACAAUCCUCUAAGAAUUACUAUCCUAAAACCACUUCAGUGCAUGCACCUAUCUUCUAGAGCUCAAUGGGCUCUAAGUCUCUAGAAACUAAGGUCAAGGUGAUGCACUAUUGGAGAUGCUUGUCCCACAAACUUUUUUUUUUCUCUUAUCUUGAUGGAGAAGAAGACCCUCUUUUUUCUUUCUUGAUGGAGAAGACCUUCGGCCCUUCUCUUUCUGCCCCCAACACACACUCUCUAUGGCCUCUUGGUAUUGUACUAGGAUGGGUGCCUCCUUUUUUAUAGAAGAGGAUGCCUUGCCCUCUUCUCUGAGACCUAGAAGUAAUCGGCAUGUAGGAGGUAAGAGAGAGGCAUGUAGGAGGUAAGAGAGAGGCAUGUCACCUUUCCUUCUAGGCCACCCCUCUCUCUGGAGUCCCACGCAGACUCCUAGUCCAUGCCAAGGAGGGAAAAGGGGCAUUGGCCCUAAAUGAGGGCGCCCCUUCCAAAUGAGGCACAGGUAGGUGCCUUUGGUAGUGCACCAAAAGAGUAGGGGCACCAGCCCAUUCAGUUGGCUUCCACUCAGGUCCAACUCGAGUGCCUUUGACUCAACCAAACCAAGUCUGGCUUAGACCAAUCAAUAUGACCGGACUAAUUUGUUAGCCCAAUCUCUUGUCCAAUAUAAUCUAGAUCUUUUUUGGUCCAAUGAAUGAGAGAAUCUUCAAUUAGAUCUAUCUUAAUUGAACUAUUGGAUCUUUCUUGGUCCAAUAAAUGAGAGAAUCUUAAUGGAUCUAUCUUAAAUUUUCAUUGCAUUACUGGGAUAGGUCAAUUCAGAUUCCCAUUUAUCAAAGAUAUGCCCCUUCAGGUUUGCUUAUACAUUUGCUGCAUAGUCCAAUAUAGGAAUACGAAGUACACAUCGCAUUAUUGAACCUCUUGGUUAGUAGAAUAAAAUCCAUUGGUCUCUCUAUCCCUGCACCAGCCACAUCCUGCAAUUAAGUCUUCUAUCAAUCUGAUGUCCGUAUAACACAAGGCACUGUUAGACCUUUAGUCAAAAUAAUUAGUAAAAUAAUUAUUUUCAAAAUCUUUUCAAGUUGCUACGUGGACCUCAAGACUUGUAUAUCUAAGUAUGUUUCUAUUUUAAUAUGAAUGUUAUGCCAAUUUGAUGGUUUGCAUAUUAGACAGCCUGACCCUUGCUCGUAUUAGAAUCUAUUAGACCACCAUGCUCCAUUUCAAGAGCAAAGUCCAAGAUGUCAUGGUCAACACACGAGUUUUGGCCACAAAUAUACCAACCUCCAUAAUACAGAAAAGUGUCUUGUCCUUCGGGUUAAGGAACGUUUUGUAAGCUCAUGCACCUGGUUCAUACCUUAACCCCUGCUAGUGCUUUGUGAGUUAGGCUGCAAAUAGGUCAGGUUGACCCGUGACCCGACCCAGUUAGACCUGACCUGACCCAUUUUAGAAGACCCGUGGGUUUGGGUCGAGUUCCAAAAUUGGACCCAUUCUAUUUUUUGGGUCAGGUCUGGGUCAACCUAAUUUGGACCCGACCCGGACCAGACACGACCCACUUUUUUUGGGUCAAUUUUGGAUCGUUUACCCAACGACCCGUCCGACCCGACCGAACUCAAUUAUGCAUUUAGACCCGCGGCCCACAGGCCGCAGUAGCAACCUAUAGGAAAAAUCGCUCUGUCAAUCGGUUUUUCAUGAGGAGUCCUCAGGCUCAUAACUCAUUCACUGCUUGAAGCUCAGGCAAGCUAGAAUCAUAAGCCCAUUCGCUCUCUUUCGAAGGGGAUCCAUCGCCCCAUCCGUAAAUCACUAUAAGCCCAUCCAUCACUCCAUCGCUCCUAACUCCUGAGUCCCAAUUCUUCAUUCUCCUGAGAGCUGAGGCAGAGGAACCCUAGAGAAAAACUUUCCUUUCCGGAUUGAUCUCCCCCUUCAUGCUCGUCCAAAAUCGUAGAGCCUUGCUGAUUAUUCUGGUGCUCUGCACACCCAUCUUCCAUGGACUCGGGAGGGGAAAAAGAAGAAAAAGAGGUUCGGGUUUGUGCACUUGGAACGACGUAGUUAGGGUUUUAUUGCCUUCCCUUUCGCCCUCUUUUCUUUGUUUGCGCCUCGCCAUCCCAUCUUCUCCUCCUCUCUUCAUUGGACCUGAGAUUCUAGGAUUGAGAUGGCUUACACACUGUUGGCAUUCGAAAAGCAGCAAGGGCAUGGAGUUUGGGUUAAACCUCAAGUUCUUGGAAGUGGAUGCAAUGGUGAAUGCAAUUCAAAAAGAACUGAAAAGAUUAGGUUUUGAUUAGUAGUUGAGUUGGAGUGUAUCGGUUGAAUUCUCUUCUCUUCUUCGCAACCUCAAGGAAGCAUCAUGGGAGGUCAUGAGUGAAUAUUAAGGGCUCGUUUGGUUCGCGGGAAGCAUUUUUCCUCCUAGAAAUAUGAUUCCUGUAAAACAAAUUUCCAGAAAGAGAGUACUUUUGGCAUGUUUGAUUGACCAUAGAAAAAUGACAAAUUUCCAAAGUGCUUAUGUUUGGUUGGCCAUCCACUUUUCUAGAAAAGUUAUGUAUAAUUCCUAUUAUGCCCUUAAUAAAAAUUAGGUCUUUAAUGCCUCUUUAAUAUUUCUUUUUAGAAAAAAGUAAAAAUAGAGUGAUUUCCGCCUCAUGGGAAAGUAACUUUCCCAUGUUUCUUAUGGAAAAAACUUUCCUAUGAAAUGUGGGAAUCAUAUUUCCAUGGGAAUACAACUUUCUCGUCUCUCUUCUUUGAAAAAUCUAACCAAACAAGAGGUAUUCUCAUUACUUUCCCAUUGACCACACUUUCCCCUUUCUUUUCCCGCGAACCAAACAAGCCCUAAGGUGUAGAGAGGGUUUUGGAGUUUUGCUUUAUGACUCUGGCUAGGGAAGAUCAUUCUCUCUCUCUCUCUCAAUCAAUCUAUCUCUAUUUUAAAGAAAAAUUAUUGGUUGGGAAAAAGCUUUUGUGCUUAGCCAGUAAGACUUCUCGUGAGAUAAACUCCAAUAAGAACUAUAGAAAAAAUAAAAUACAUUAUAAAAUUCUCUGUAAAAUUCUUUGAAUCCCAAUCUAAACAUUCUUAAGUCGAUUUCAAGACCCAACUUGGAGCUCACCCAACCCGAUAGGCUUCAGGUCGGUCCAAAACCAUUUCUAGCCCUAUAAAGGACACUCAUCUCUCAUAGAGAACACAAUUACAACGUAAAGCAGCUUAGCCACUUGAAUUAAUGGACCAAUCCAACUUAUCAACUAACCUCAGGUUCCAACAUCAGUUGGCUUGUUUAUCCCAUUCUUAAUUCAAAAUUUGAAACAUGGAAUACCUAGAGGCCAUUGACGUACAACCCAUUUCACCCUAUAUUUAAAACAUGCUAGAUUAGAUGCCUUGCCCUUAUGCCUCCGAGCUCCCUAGCUAGUGCUGGAUGGGGUCGAUGGACUUCUCUCCACCUCUACGAACUACCAUAAUUCUCUUCAAAGUAUGGACCAUCCCAUAUUCCAUAGCCAUGAGCUGAUCAUCCAUGAUCCAAUCAACAUCCAUCGCCUCCACAAUCAUGAACUAAACACUAGUGCCCCUCACCUCUGCAGCCAUGACCUAACCUUUGGAGAAAUAAACACUUUGCCUCUAUGCCCAUAAUUCCAUUGCUAAAUUUCCACGCCUGCAUGCCCGCAAACCAACCACUUAUUGAUAUCUCAUGCCUCCAUAACUACGACCCAACCACUUACCUCUUAGCCUUCACACAAUCGCAAUGUCCCAUCACUCUAAUGACUUUCAUCAGCCUCACUCGUCUUAACGGUGGUCUGGACCCCUGCCAAGCCACCACUCAAUGAAGCAAGAAUCUCUACCAUAUCGUAGGCAUUCUCUAGCGACAGCUUGAAGCUACUCAACUGAUCAACCUUCCUUAGGUUUUCAGAUCCAAUCGAAUUUAUAGGUAUAGAAAAAAGCCCUAUCAAUUAUAGAUUUUUUUUUUGACCAUCUUUCAAUUGUUAAAACGAGAUAUACUGCUAGCACCAUUUGUUCCAUUUAUCAAUCCAUUUGCUGGGGACUAUUGCUUGCUGUAGCUUCAUCAGCAGGACUUUGCUAGCUCUAUAGCUAGAUCUUGCCACUAAAAGUGCUGGUCAAGAGCGUCAUUGGCUUCCUCACCGAUGUCGGCCUCUUUGUCACUAUCGACCAUGAACUCUAGCCUCCACCAGCCCAGAAAAGAGGAGAGAAAAAGAGAGGGAGAGGAAAGAAAGGAGAAGAGGAGAAAUGCUAAGAAUGAGAUGGAGAGGUAAGGGGAGUUCCACGAUUGUGCAAAGCAGAGGAAACCCAACUUGGUAACCUCUAUGAUGCAUGUUUGUCAUGCGGAGAGGUACGCAUGUUUAGAUGAAAAACACAUCGCUUAUGCAACAACUCAGGACCUCACCCAAAAUGACUAGCCGGAAGGUAUUAUUUAGGUUCAUUGUGGGACUAAAUACACGUCCACACGGAUCCUCACAUAUUUCCUCCGUUUAAGCCCUAACGUCCUCGUCAGGCUAAGGAUUCAAAUUUCUUCAAAUCUAUUCACAAACACCACGAUCGGCCCAUGAUCAGCCCCAAUGGAUCCGUGCUGCAGUGUCACCUAGUCCACAUAGGUUAUAAGAUGGGUCCGCUCUGAUACCAUUUGUAACAACCCAGGACCUCAUCCAAAAUGGGUAGCCGGAAGGUAUUAUUUAGGUUCCUUUCUAAGAUCUACCCAGCAAAUAACCUAUGUGGGACUAAACACACGUCUGCACGGAUUCUCACAACCUAUAUUGAAAAUGGACGAUUAGUAUUGCUCCCUCACAAUACACGUAUGGCACAGUAAUGUACAUGUUGCUAGGUCAAACAUGCAUGGCCCUCUGCGGUCACCGCUGAUGACCCUCCUCUCUCAGUCUCUCAGCCUCAAACCUCACAGCUUUCUCUAAAAUAGCAUAAAGAGCAAGUGUGACCCACACCUAAAACGGACCUUAGGAUUAGCAUUUGAGCAUGAUUAAAAAAAUAGAAAAGAUAAACUGUAUAAGUCAUGAAGUACAAAUCUGUACAUAUCUAUCUAGAACCAGGUACAAUUGCCUUAAUUAAAUUCAAAACCAAAUGCGCGGUGGGCGUAAUCAGUGAGCAAACACAUGGUAUUUUAAAUAGUUACAUGCUGGGUUCAGAUACAAACCCAAAAAAUUACACGCGUCAGAGAACUAUUCCACAAGUAUAAUAUUCAUGCAACGAAAUUUGCAGCAUUUCAUUCCCCCUCUCACCGCAAUCUACGUGAACCAAAACCGGGGCAGCCCCCUGUUUCAAGCACCACGGGAACCGAAGCAGUUCGAAUGAGAUCCUAGCAACACACAAGCGACUCCUCCACCAGUAUCUUACCUACACGUAUCUGAACUCAUCGGCAUCUGACGCGUGUCAACUAAUUACAAUAAUUGCAAGACUCCUCUUUAGAAGCCAUUGUUGUUCCGGAGCCAGAAUCCGUGCCCCUUCUUACCUUUUUAAACGGAAGGCCAAACUCUUCCUCCCCUUACAAAUCCUCUGCGUUUCGAUUGAAGAAGAGAAGAAAAAAGCCGGAAAAAUGGCAGAGAGCCCAAGCACGAUUGAAUCGAUGAGGAAGUGGGUCAUAGAUCACAAGCUUCGAACCGUUGGUAACUUACUGAUUUCUCAAAUUUCUCCUUUUUCUUUCCUUUUUUUUUUUAAGUUUCCUCUCUACAUAUCUUCUUUAUUUUUCUUAACAUUGGCCAAAUUCUUUUGUUUUUUAACCCCCUCUUUAAAGGUUGUUUGUGGUUGAGCGGCAUAGGGAGCUCCAUUGCGUACAAUUGGUCUCGGCCGAGCAUGAAACCCAGCGUUAAGAUCAUCCAUGCAAGGUUUGGUUGGAACCAACCCAUUCUCUUUUCUUUGUUAAAAUUGAGUUUUAUUCAGUUUAGUUACUUUAUUUUAAUUAUUGCCACAUUCUCCUCGACAAACUAAAGAUCCUAUCAAACAAUGUUAUCAUAUGUAAACCAUUACCGAAUGAAUCCUAUUAAGAUUCCUCUACUGCUUAUAUUGGAUUUAAACAUGAUUUAAUUUCAGGUCACCCCCUAAUUCUGCAUACACACACAAAAAAAAAACUAUAAUUUAUUUUUUUGGUUUAUUAUAAUUCCUUGACAUGUUUGUGAUUAUUUCUUUUAUCAUUUCGAUCUCGAGUAAUAAGAUUUGGCAUUUGGCUGUGUUUAUUUUAAAGGUUACAUGCUCAGGCUCUCACUCUGGCUGCCUUGGCCGGAGCAGCGUUGGUUGAGUACUAUGACCAUCGGACGGGAUCAGGAUCCAAGGUGAACCAAUAUGCCAAGGAGUUCUUCACAAUGGAUGCGCGCCCACAGAAAGAUUGAAGUCAGAGGAAGCAGCAGCUGCUUGCCCCUGCUGUUCUAAGGCCAUCUGUUUAUAUUUUGCAUGUAAAACGUACGUAGAAGUGGAAUAAAUGCUGGAUUUUGGCUGAUCUUUGGUGUCCGAGUCCUCCUUCUCAUUUCAUUUAUUGAUGAAAUAAGGUGGAUUUCCAUUUAUUUUUAUGAAAAAAGAAAACUAGGGGAGGUUAGUUCUUCCUCCUGCAAUCUUUGUUUGAUCACGAUGGUACGCCAUUUGUGUAACAACCAGAACCUUAUUCAAAAUAAAAAAUAAAAAAGAGCUAAUCAAAAAAUAUUAUUAAAUUUUUUAAUUCUGUAUAAGUAUCUAAUAUCUAUUUAGUGAAUAACUGGUUUCAGACUAGACAUAUGCUUGUAUAGAUUCUUCCAAAUUUUUUUAUAGUGUAAGAUGGAUUUGCUUUGAUACCAUUUAUAAUAAUUCAGAAUUUUAUUUAAAAAAAUUAGAUAUAAGAUUUUAUUUAAAUUUUUUGAAUCUGUAUAAAUAUUUAAAAUUUAUUUAGCAAAUCAAUGAUGUGGGACUAGUUUGCACAAUUUUCAUAAUUUGUGUCCAAUAUAAUGUGCUAUCUCGCCAUUUUCUUUUUCUUGCUAGUGCUAUUUAGUAAGUGUUUUAAGUGCGUUAUGAUAUGCUUGAGGUGUCAAACAACUUAGUUCUGCAAAUAAUUUUCUGGAGGAACCCGGCCUCUAUUGAACAUGGAUUGUUGGCAUUUUUAUGUAAAUGUUUAGCAUGUGUGAUGCAUGAGGGUGAAAGUUUGAACAACUUUGAUUCCUCCUAGUUAAAGAUGCAAGUGUGCCUCUUUUCCUUUCCUAAGAUAUUGAGAAAAAUAUUGGGAUUUUCCUUUGAUAGAAAAAUGAAGUUUUAUUAAUAAAAUUAAGAAUAGUUGAUGAGCAACCGCUCUGCAGGAUUCUUCUAUCCAUGUUUCAAAAGCUUCUCUCUCUUUUUUGCAGGAUUGAAGGAAUAAGUUGACAAUUGAAAACAUAAAUGCUUCGUAUCCUACAAUUAUUCUAAGAUGUUUUCGUAGAGCAAUGACAACUUUUAUGAAAUCUCCUUCAAGAUUAAGCAUUAAGAUAUUUACAUUACCACAAAUUGUACUCUUUCCUUCGAGGCCAAAACUUCUAUUAGGGACGGUGAUUUCAAAGAAACCGUGAUGGGAGAUGUAGCCACAAACUCUCCUCUUCUAUCUCCUAUAAUAAGCCCCAAUCCGUUCAAUCAACAAGUGUAAAAGAUAGCUACAUCCACAUUAACUUUAUAUGUACCAUCUUUGGGAGAUUGCCAUGUGACUAAGAGAAGAAUUGCGAUGAGGAUGCUCUUGAGCAUCUUCAUAAAAUCAUUGUACCUUCAAUGCUCUAAAUCAUAUUGUUUGUGCACAAGGUUUUUCUCGUUGUUUAAUGAUGGACGUGCCAGAAAGCUCAUUUGACAAGCCAAUUAUAAUAUGGAUAAAUACAUACGUAGGCGUGCCACCAUCGUUAGAGUAGUCAGAAGUAUGAUAAUUGAAGGAAAGAUACGAGAGUAGCGUGACUCUAAGUAUCUUGAUCAAGAAUUUUUAACAUUAUGAUACCAUCAUUUGAGGAAGAUGGAUUUGGUUAAGUAUAAGAGUGUAUUAAUACUAUAUCAAAGUAUUGAAAAGUAAAGUGUAGGAUAAAAUAAAGCUAAGAUAAAAUAAAAUUUAUUGAUAUAGAUUUCAUUUUUUUCUUUUUACAAAAUAUAAUUAUAUUUAUUUAUACUUAGAAACAUAAUAACUGUAAUAGAAAUCAUUGGUCCUUGUAAUGGCCCACAUCGCCACUAUCCUUAGUGGUUUCGAAGAUUUGCUCUUAUAAUCCUGCAUGUAGUGUAAUUGCAAACCCAAGCUAGUGAAGAAAGUGAGUUCAAGACUGUGGUUGAUACUCUGACUUGUAGCUCGUGCCCAUGUAUCAUGGUUGAUCAAGGCCAAGUUUUAAUCUUUCAGCCUGUUUAUUCAUGUUGUAGCUACCUUUCGACUUGCACCUACCCACCUAAUAUGAUUUAUUACAGGUGAACCAUAUCUAGUCCAUUUGCACUUGAUUUGACUUAUCUAACCACGUUGAUAUGGCGUUCGCACGUGACCGCGGGCUAAAUUGUUGAGAUCAUAUAUAAAUGCAUAUAUAUCUCAAGAAAAAAUUAAACAAUAUAUAGUAUAUUUUUUUUCAAAUGCACAAUUACACAGGUUCCUCUACGUUUAAGAUUAAUAAAGAAAAAAAAAUACGAGCAUAAUAGAAAAAGAAUGGAGUCAAAGCAACCCUUGGCAGUCUAAUGGAUAUGUCAUUCAUAUUGCACAUGUCAUAUACAAAUAAUACUUUACUAAGAAAUUGGUUUGGCUCCAUGUGAAGUUAGCAAAUGCUGAUGACACCCCCCAUUUUUUUUUUGACAAUUGCAACCCUCCAUCUUAGUAGGUUUCAAGGGAUGCAUAAAAUACAAAAGUGGUAUAAUAUUUAUUGAGUUGUAUCAAUAACCGAGGAAAAUUAAUCAGAUGGAACCAAAGUUAUUGAUACUUCCUCCUAGGUGAAUUGCGCAAGCCUGGAACUAAAGAAAAUAUAUGUUAUACAUAUUUCUAUGGUACCUUGCAAUGAAGAAAGUUUCCUCCUGUAGCCAAUUUUCUCUUUUUGUCAAGCUCACAAAGUCAACAAUAUUAGCUGACUUUGUGCACUACUUAAGGACUUAUAACAAUUUUAAGCCUCAACUAUAAACUUAGAAAUAUUUUUUCCUCAACAAACCUCUCCACCACUAAAAACGAACUUUUGAGUGAAGCUUCAACAAGAGGUUUGAGCAUCACCAGCUCACCUAGGUUUAACCUCAAAGCGAAACUUGUUUUAAAUCAUGUAUAAGUCCUUCAAUUGAAGACUUCAUAUAGUGAUCACAGAGUCACUAUGUACCCUACCAAAACAACAACAAAAAAAAUAUUAGCAGGUUUCUACAUGGAUAUGUAAUUGUUUUAAGGUUGCUAAUUAACCAAUACCAAUUGUUAUACAGAGGUGAAGCAAGCUACCCUCCACAUUCAUCUCAUGUAAAGUUAAUGCUAACUUAAUGGUCUGUUUUGUCGAUCGCAAUCUUACAAAAUAGGGAUAUUAUUUUUUUUUUCCCGACAUGAUCUAUUAUAUCCUUAUUUUCUAGAGCUUCAUUGAUUAAUGAUUUUCUUAAAUAAUUAAUUCUUUCUUCUCUUCCUCUUCCAUUGUUAUCUCCUCUCCGUUGGCUAUCAUGUAUUGCUAUGUUUUCGUUAUAGCUUACUAGGGUUUCUAAAUAUGCUCAAGAUUUUACUUGCAUCGGGAUUUCCAAAUUAAUUUAUAUCUCAACUAGAAAGUAAGAAAUAAUAUUACUGCAGCAUGCUAGAUUGACUUGUCACUUAAGAAUUUAUAAAUAAUUCAUCUAAAACCUUAGAAGGGAUUUGACCGUAAUUUUCUGUACUAACAUACCUUCGCAGUUCAAGUCGGCAUAUUAGCUCUCAGGAUGGAGGAAUUAUUGCCCACACUACGUGCAUCAGCAGUGCCGUACAUACAGUCAAUCAUGACCGCUGAUUUCUGUGAUGGCGCGCCGAGAUAUCAGCACGUGGAGACGGUGCGGGUGUAGGAUCAGUGGGGUGGGGUUUGAACCCUAACCGAUAUUUAGAAAAAAAGCGAAAAAAAAAAAAAGAAGCAGAAAGCUGUGCUCAUAAGGGAGGGGAAUUUUAGGUCGAGGUCGAUGCCGGGCGCGAUGGCGGCACCGGCGGCGAUGGAGCCCGUGGAGCCGCAGUCGCUCAAGAAGCUUAGUUUCAAAUCCCUAAAGCGUGCCCUCGAUCUCUUCUCCCCCGCCCACGGCCACUCCACUCCCCCCGAUCCCGAGAGGUUCUCCCAUAAACCCUAAAUCCCAAUCCCUCUUCCCUUCUCUUCCCCUUUCUCGUCUCCUCUCCUGCUCUCUCCCUCUUUUUCUCUCUAUCUCUCUCCAAUAUCUUUGAAUCGCUUCUUUCUUCCUGACUUUGGGUUUGUUCUAUGUUCGUCUUUGCCCGGGGCGUUGCAGCAAGAAGAUUCGAAUUAGCUACAAGGUUCGAACUUUCUCUUUAAUUUUCUUUCUCGAUUACUUAUCGAGCUUCUUUUAUUAAUCUGGUCUGUAAGAGAAAGGCUUGCUUCAGGGUUCUUUUUUUCUUGUGCAAGAUUUUCUUGCUUUUUUUUCGAGGUCUCGAGUUAAGAAGGAAUCAUCUGGUCAAAUUAAAGGGGCUGAGUGCUCACGUUGUUGUGAAACUACUGGAGAGCAAUUGAACAUGAUAUAUCCUGGGAAAAAUGUAAUUUAACUGGUAGUUUUUUUGUUAAAUUUUUAGUAAAAAAGGGCAGGGAAAAGUUUUGAAUUUGGCUGUUGGUUUCUUGAUUAUGGUUCAUCGUCCUCUUAAGGAUGACUGCAGCAAAGAUACUGUGUUUUAUGCUGCCAGUGAAAUUGUCUGAUUGGAUAUUUGUAGUGUUAAUUCUGAGCAGUGAACGAAGUAUUGACGUUGCAGCUGCUUGAUUUGAAGGUACAUGCUGAAUAUGGAUCAGUUAUGGACUUGUCUAUCGAGCAAGCACAGGACCGUGGUGGCGCUGGUGCUCAGGGUAAAGGUGACCUAGUAUCGACCUCCACAGCAUUGGCUCUUCCAGGUGUGUGGUGGUUGUUCCGUUUUUUAGUGCACAAAAUAUUUGAAAUUUUACAUGCUUCAUGAACCAUUCAGUAAAUCCUUUUGGUUUCCCUUAAAAGCUUUUAUAUUCUGUGAAACUAAGAGUCUGAGGCUAUAAGAUGGUUGCCUCAUUGUAGCAUGUGUACUUGGUGUAUUGUAAAUGACCCUUGAAAGACUGAACGUGAUGGUACUCAUUCAUCAAAGCAUUGGAAAAGAAGAACUUAAGGAUUUGCAAUUCUCUGCUUAUAUUAUGUCCCUAAAGAAAUUAGAAACAGCAAAUUAAAAUACUAAUUUGUUAUUAAUAAUCUCUUCCAGCUAAUGUCAAAAAUGUAGGAAAUGUUGUUGGCUUCUGAAAACUGCUUUGAUAUUCAACAUGCUGGAGCUUAUCAGCAAGUAGUAGAUUUCAUUUCUUUUCUAUUAGUAAUAUUAUUUUUUGUUAUUUUUGUAUUACUUGUGGUGUUUGAUUAGAUAUAGUAUGGAAUGCACACAAUUAAUCUGGUGAGUUUAUUGCACUAAGAUUUUGUUUUUUUGUUUUUUUUCCUUUUUUAGUAGAAGGGUCAUUUGAAGAUUCAGAGAAGAAAUGGUUUUGAUUUGUUUGGUUGUGGGGUAUAUGUUUUAUUUCUUUAGAUCAUUGGCACAAGUAAGUUACACCAAUAGAAUCUGUAUUCUAAUAUGUAUUUCAAGGAAAGGUUUAAGUUUUUCGCUACCAUAUAUUACUAUAGAGGCCUCCUUUAUUCAUUAGAUUUAGUGAUUAUCCUACUUACUGUCCUUUCUAACUUGCUACCUUGCAGGAUGUGGACUCUCAUGUGCAGCAUUGUAUGGUCCACUAAAAUUUACUGUUAAAACUUGCUGUAUGCCAUUAUAUUUAGGAACUGGCACUAGUGUAACAUAAGAACAUCAAAUGGUUAAUUUUGUUUCUGAUAUUUCCAAUAGUCUUUGAAAAUUCUUGAUGCUAGCUUAACAUUGUUCUGGGCUUAUUCUUUUGUUACGGUCUCGAAAUUUAUUCCUACAGGCAUCCAGGAUUCCAGAAAUUCUCAGAAAGAGGGCAGCCAAAGUGCUAUUGUUACUGCACCAACGAUGCAACCAAAGGGCCCGUAUGUCUACCAUCUUAUCUUAUUGUGUUUGUGUACUACAAUAAAUACUUGCAAAUUUUACUCAGAUUAGCUAACACUAUAUAUUUUACAGGGAACCUGGUAUUCCAAGCAGAAAUACAGGGGCUGUAGUAUCGAUUCCUGGCUCUUCAGAAAGGUGAUAUACAUUUCUUUUUUUCCCUUUGCCUUGCUUGAGUUAAUGCAAAAGGAUUACAUUUGAUCAUCUUCAAAACAAUUCUCAAAUGGUUGUUAAGCUUUAUUUUUUUAUUUUUUUCUGUUAGAAUGAUUAGCUGCAGAUUAGGAGGGAGACACUUCAUGUUCAUAUAAAUUAAAAACUUCACAUUUUGCAUAUGGUAGUUGUCAUUUCAUCAUAAUGCAGUAUGGGUUGUGCAUAAAGUGAGUGGAUUCUUCUGACAGAUGUGGUUCUUUUCUCCUUUUACCAUGUGAUUUGAACCUGAGAUGUCUCUCUAGUAUUGAGUCUUAUGAAUGAUGACUCUUUUAUAGUCGUUGAUGUACUAGCAAUAUCUGAACAAAAUUUUUCUGCUGGUAGUUCCUGUAGUUAAUAUUGUUUGAACAUUAGAGAUAGACCUUGUUAACUUCAUUUUAAUAAAUAAUUUGCUUGUGUUAAAAAUUCCUUAAGGUUUUAUAGAAACUUGAAGCUUCUAUUCAUCAGGUCCAUGAAUUUUACUAGUUAUCAUUAUUGUAAGAAAAAUCGCAAAUUUCAAAGCCUUUUUAAGCAGCGAAAAAGAUUGUGUCUUGUGUUAUCUGCACUUUGAAGGAUUGUCAUAUAGUCCUCUCUCAACAUUUUAUUAGUUAAUACAGAAUAUGCUUCAUGCACUUGUACCGCCUCUUGUCAGAACUGUUAUCCUGAGCUCUUCACUGUAGUUUACUACUUACAUGAAUAUAAUAUGGUAAUUUGUCCAGUGUAUUGUAAGUCACCUCUACUCUUAUUGUUACUUUCACCAAUAGAAAGUUAUGCCUAUUAUUUCAUUGUUGGAUGCCCAGGUACCUCUAUAUAUUGGAUUGUAGCUGUCCUUGAUUUUUUUUGACCCAAUUUGUGCUCUGAAUUGUUCCAGCUCCUCGAGUUGAUCUGUUGAGGAAAGAAAUGAUAAACUUUGUUUACAGGAAAUUAGCAAUUUGGAAGGUGACCAGUCACACUGGAAUAUUGGUAUUUCUAUAUUAAUUAAAUUGAAAUAGUCAGUGUAAUUGAUUGAACCAGCCUUUCUGAAAUUUAAUAGAUAAGUAGUCUUGAAAGUGGCCAAAUAUUCAAUUAUAUCCCAUAUCAAGGAGUUGGAAUAUUUAGUCAGCAAAAUUGAACUUGCAUAGAAUUUAAGGACCUGUCUGGAAGAAGAGGGGAGGAGAGGGAGAGGAUGUAUGAUUGGCAAUGAUGAGGAGAGAAGAUGUCAGGAAUUGCAGAAAGAGAAAAAAGACCCACGGGGGUCCUUUUGCUCUCCUGUAGGAUUAAGUUUUUGUUUUUUUUUUUUUGGGGGGGGGGGGGUUGGGGUGUUUGAGUUGAUAUGGGUCAUGCCUAAAUGAGCUGCUCAAUUCAUGAAUCCAGGAGGAAAUCCUGCUCAAUCCUGCUAAGUUACCCAAGCAGGCCCAAAGUUAGGAAAUUAUCCAAGUUUGAAGUUUGAACAAGAGGCCAAAUGAAGUUGACAGAGUGUCUGGAUCCAGUUCACCCAUUAAUGAUAUAUUUUUCUUUUGAGACCUUUAUAAUUAGCAAUGUAUUUCAAAUUACCUAAUGGAGAAUGCUAUCUGGGUUGUUGUAUACAAUCUGUAUAUACAGGCUAUCUUCUUAUGCACAGUUGUGCCUAUUCAACACAAACCAGCGAUAACAUGCUGUCAGUACUCUUGACCAGUUGAGCUACAUAUAAGUUUGAUAUGGCUGAAAUUGGUUAAUGUUUUACUUGCUUUAAGCAAAAAUUGAGAUAUUUGAUUUAUGAAUGCAAGGAAUAUGCUCAAUUGCACAAUUCGUCACUCCUUUUUUUUGAUAGAACAUAAUUCGUCACUCUUACUACAAUGCUUUAAAUAUUCUAGGAAGAAAUUCUUACAAUAGUUCUUAUUGCUGUCAGGUAUCAAUCCACAUCGGCAUUGAUGGAAAGGAUACCAAGUAGAUGGCCUCGUCCUACCUGGCAUCCUCCAUGGAAGAAUUAUAGAGUAUGCUUGCUUAUUUCUUGGCCUUAUAAUAUAUUAUUAUUAGCUGUUACUUUUAAUUGUGUGAGAAUUAAUUCUGAUUCUUGAAUGAAUUGGUGCACUUUUCUAGCAAGCAAUUACUAUUCUAGGUUCCAUAAUUUUUAAUUACUGGAAUUUUAGCACAAAGUAACUAUAGUUUAUAGUUAAAAUCUCAAUAAAGGUCUUUGAAUUGUGCAUGCUGUGCAGCCAUUUUGAUAAUAUAUUAGUGGAAGUUUGAUGUAUGAAAUUACUUCCCUAACUGGAAUAUAUGUUAAGACGUUUAUAUCUCUUAUGAUGCUACUAAUAUGCUUUUCAGUUCUUUCAGUUUUAACUUCAUCUACAUAUUUGAUAAAGGAUUUAGGAGAUAUGUCAGUUAUAUGACACCCUGCACCACUGUGAUAUAGAGGAAGCCUAAUACACACAUUUCUGAACUCAUGUGAGCCAUAUGGAUGAUUAUAAGCAAACUAUGAGAUGGCAUACUAUUUUUCUGUCUUCCACUUUACAGGAUGGGUUUUUGAGGGCUUUUCGUUUUGAGGGACUUAAAAUUGAUUAAAAACUAACCAUAAUGUGUGGGGGAAUUGAAACAUUAGGAAAUUUCAGCAGAUUAGGAGAGUUUUAGAGUUUUAUGGUUGCAGUGGUGGGUAAUAAUCUAUGGAUUAAAGGGCUUUAAGUAACCCAAGUUUUUAUAGUUGCAGUGGUAGGUGUUUCUCUGUCUGUUGCUUUAAGUUUCUUUUCUAUCACUUUUUUCAGUAUGAUUUACUUCAUUGAAUUUAUGCAGGUUAUCAGUGGUCAUUUGGGAUGGGUGAGAUCCAUUGCAUUCGAUCCGAGCAAUUCAUGGUUUUGUACUGGUUCUGCAGACCGGACAAUAAAGGUUCACCUUGCAUGAUAUAGGGCUAUAUUAAUGUUGUAGAUACUUGUUGUUUUUGUGAUUAUGAUUAUUUUUUUCCUUCUGCCAUUAUGUGUUAGGAUGUAUCAUCAUCAUAUAUUUCAAUGAGUGGGUCAGUCUUUGACCUUGUGGCAUUUCUUGAAUGCACAAUGAACUUGUACUUCAUUUUCUACACUUGGGAUCUGAGCUUUCAGAUUAUUUCUCCUUUUUUUUCGUUGAAGGUUGAUAAUGCAUAGAUUGAUUGAUUCACAAGGGAUAUCUGUAAGGAUAUUCCUGCUGACCAUGUUUAAAGUUUUCUCUGAACUAUGUUGAUUCAAAUGUUGCUUCUUAGAUUCUAUGAUAGCCAAAACAUAUUUUAUGUAUGUUAAACUUGAAGUUGUUUAAUUUUGGGUUGAAAAGGACAAGAAGUGUUUUUCCCCUCAUUCUUACCCUUUUGUAUUUUGAUUAUGGCUAUGACUAUUUAUUUAAUUUUUAACAAAAAAAAGGGACGUCCUUUUAUUUGAUUUAAAUUUCAACUGGCUGCUUAAUUUUUUGCUACUACUUUUUUGUUUCUCCCUUUUCAAGAUAUGGGAUGUUGCAUCUGGAAAAUUAAAGCUCACACUGACAGGACAUAUUGAACAAAUACGCGGUUAGUUGCAUUCAAUACAUAUUGAUAGCUUUAUUUUGGUUUCUUUUCUUGUGUAUUAUUUACGUAGAAUAUUGGAAAAUAAUGAUACGAACAUGUGCUUAUAUUUCUAGGGCUUGCUGUCAGUCAACGUCAUACUUAUUUGUUCUCUGCUGGUGAUGACAAACAAGUUAAAUGUUGGGAUCUUGAACAGAAUAAGGUUGUCUACUGCAGACUCUUAUUUAUAAACACGUACAAAUUUACACCAUAUGAGGUGUCUACUGACCUGUAAUUUACAUUUCAUUUAUCUUUUGAAUAGGUGAUUAGGUCUUAUCAUGGACAUCUGAGUGGCGUGUAUUGUUUGGCGCUUCAUCCAUCUCUCGAUAUUUUACUAACAGGUGGCAGAGAUUCUGUCUGUCGGGUAUGCAUUUAUAUGAAUUGGAAUGAGAUAUUGUUGAAGUUUAAACUACAUCGUAUAUUUUGUGUUGAUAGUUGUUGAACCAAUUUGUGGUACAGUGUCAAGUUGUUUUGAUGUAGAUCUGAACAUAUGCUUGACAUUGCAGAUUUGUCUUCUUUUUCUUUUUCUCAGGUCUGGGACAUUCGUACUAAGGCAAUGAUUUUUGCUUUAUCCGGGCAUGAUAACACUGUGUGUUCAGUUUUUGCUCGACCAACGGUAUGCAAACAUUUAUUUAGUCAGGACAUUUGUUCAUCGAUAUUUGCCUAGAAUCGUAUUGGGCGUUCAAAGUGUAUUAUUUGUUAUCCAGGAAUUAAUAUGUUGAAGUUCAAGUAAAUUUUGCAUCACAGAGACAUGCGAUUUGGUUUCAUUAUGAAGAUUGCAAUUUCUAUGGACUCAUCAACAUAUAUUAGCAUAAUCUCUAUAAUUGCCCAUUGUUUUGUGUAAUAAACCAAAUGAUCAAUUUGAAGCAAGUCCAUCCACAAGGUUUCGUUUCUUUAUGAGGCAGAACUAAAUUUCCAUCUUAGAUCCAGCAUCAACAUACUUAAACAAUCUAAUUUUUUUCUUGCUCUUUUUUCCGUGUGAAGCAGUGUGAUAUAGAUCUAUAUGUGUGGGUUGGAGCAUUUUUUUAGGACUCGAGGUUCUUGUUUGACAUUUUUUCCUUUAUUGAACCUGAAUUUUGUGCCUUACAUUAUGACAUAAGUCACAUAAAAUUGUUGCUAAGAGCUAUUUUUUGGCAUAUUCUCUUUCCAGGCUGUUCAAUAAUAGACUUCCCCCUUGAGAGUGAAGUCGUGCAUAAUGAAUAAUAUGCUUUCUCCAUAUAAGAAAAUAAAUUACGUAUGUUCAUUUGUUUCUAAAUAUUAUUAAGACCUUAUAGGUUUUGAGGAGGAGGCAAGAAGGGAUAGAUGCUAUUCGAUAUAAGAGAGUAAAUGGAGGCAGUGGAUUGUAAAUUUGGAACUAAGAGUAAUUACUGUUUGUUAAUGCAGCCUUCUUGAAUAAAAUUAUGGCGUUCACACCAAUCAAUGUCAAUAUGGGAGAUUAGGUAGCAGUCUAAGCUGAGUAGACAAUUAAAAUACUUCUUGCCACAAAUCCUGUCAAAUGCAGAACUUUUUUUUGAUAGGCCUUCAAAGAAACAGCCAAUGGGUAGUUGAAGUUGGGUAACAGAUAAUGGUAAACAAAAUUAUUCUUGUUAUUGUUUUUUCAGUUCUAGGGAAUCAUUUUUUUACCAACAACACAACUGAGUGAUUAAGUACUGCUUCUAAAAUACUGCUAGUAGAAAAACCAGAUUUAUCAAUUGGUUUGAGAUUUUCCUGAAUCUAAAUUCUAAUGUGACGAACCUUUCUUUUCAGUCAGUAUCCUUUAAUUGACUUUUUACUUUUCCGCUCUAUGCAUUAUCAUUGAUGAUGCCUGCAUUUAGGAUUUAAGAAAUUUAGGUUGGUCUCUCAUCAUUUACAGUUCUGUUCAUAUUUUCUCAUCUACUGAAUCCUGGCUGUCUUUUUUUCCUCCCCUUGUUUUUUUCUUGAUAUGUCAUGGAUGUUUGUCAGGUCAUAGAAAAUGCAGAAUUAUCUGUGUGGCUGUUAGUUUAAUCAAUACUUUUUUCCUUUUUCAGGAUCCACAAGUAGUAACUGGCUCUCAUGACACCACUAUUAAGUUUUGGGAUCUAGCAGCUGGUAAUGAUUUUUUUUGGUUAAAAAAUCAAUGUCCAUUAUUUAUCUGUAUUAAUUUUCAUCUUCUGAAGACAAAAUCCCUUUUUUCAGGAAAAUCAAUGUUAACUCUCACCCAUCAUAAGAAAUCUGUGCGUGCUAUGGCAUUUCAUCCAAAAGAGUAUGUCCCUCUAACUCAUGGCAGUCAGCCUCAUUUUUAAAAGCGUCUUUCUUUUUUCUCUUUCUUUAAUUCUUAAUGUUGCAGUUAGCGGAUUAUGCUAUUUUCUCCAUUUUUCUUUGCAGGCAAACUUUUACAUCAGCAUCAGCAGACAACAUAAAAAAAUUUGGCCUUCCGAGAGGAGAAUUUUUGCACAAUAUGCUGUGAGUAAUCACUGAAAAGUGCAUCUUCUAUUUGAACAAUGAAUUGAUAAUACGUUACUGAUAAAAUGACAGAUAAAAAAAAACAUAUGUUCAAGCAAUGUAGCUUAUAGUUUCUCACAUGCUUUAGAUUAUGAGUCAAUAUUAUCGCUUUAAAAUCAAGGAUAUCUAAUCAUAACAUCUAAUCAUAGUACAAGCUUAAAAAUCGAUAUAUCAAAUGAAGUAAUACAUGGCCAUACAUUUUGUAUGCCUCCUUUGAUUGAAUAUUUUACUGAAUGGAUUUUGAUAUUAAAGUGAUGCCAUGCUAUUAAGGAAUUAUUAUCAUAUCAAUUUGUAAGAAUGAAAGUGACAACAAAAAUUAUAGAAUAUUGUUGGCUUAAAAAUAAGUUUAUAAGAAUGGGUCAUGGGACAAUUUUUAGCAAAUUGACUGCAGUUUCCUUGUGGUAAUAUUGUUAUAUUUUUUGGGAGAUCUUUUUAUGCAAAGUUUGAAGGAAAGUAGUAAUUUGCAUAUGAUUUUACAUAUGAAUUUACUUGGAAGUUCCAUCUGAGUUAUUAAUUUGAUGAGAUCUGAAGCAGAAAAAGGAAUUAUGAAAGGGCGUGUUGAGAGUACUAAGGAUACGGGAGCUGUGGCAAGAAAUAUCAGUUUCACUUCAGAGAGCCUAAAGGAAGUGUUGGCCUUAGGUUCACAUUCCCAUUCUCUUUAUAUAUAAUUAUUGUUAAUACUUAGGAGUAGAUACAUUAUUGUAUGUUAUUUGAGGAUGAUAUAUUAAUGACUGAUAAUAUGGGUAACAACAUUAAACAUUAUAUCAAUGCUAUAUAGAAAAGAUUCAUAUUAUAAUUUAUGGAGUUAUCUCUCUAGAAAAAAAAUUAUAAUUCAUAGAAUGGACAUGAAAUGUAAUUUGUUAGGUGUAUAUAUAAAUACAUUCUGAUUAAAACAGAAGCCUGCAAAAUAACCAUUUUGAGUAAUUUUGCUGUUUGGAAUUAAAAAUAUGAGAAGAAAUGUAGAAGUUUCAUUUUUAGCUAGUGAAGUGCUGGAAAACCUUUUUAGAAAAUGAUGUUCUUCAGCAAAACUUUGACAGGUCCCACUGAAGAUAGGUUUGAAUAUUUAUAGUGGUGUCAUGUCAGUGGAAGGUUAAAUGAACAUAGGCUUGGAGUUUUGUGGAGUUGAAAUUGUGAAUCGACAGUCUGCAGCCCUCACAAGGGACAUACGGUGUUAAUAUCUUCUACUUUUGCACUUCCCUUUUGCGCUAGCAUCUGCAUAAGAAGACUUGAACAUCAUGACAUGCACACAUAUAGUUUGAGCUUCCAAAGUUAGCAUUGACCUUUCUUGUAAUGCAUACAAUGUACACUACUGUUUGGAAGGAAUACUUUGUGAUAUCCAUGGGUAAAAUCUCCAUGGAGAUUCAUAUGUUAAUCAAAUUUCUAAAUGUCUCAUAUAUAUACAUAUUUAUAUAUACACACACAGAUAUAUAAUACAGAAGUCAAACCACCUUAAGAUCCUUUACCUUUCUAUAAUUUAAUUUCUCUUUCUACAAAUGUACUAAAAUCCUGGCCAAGAAGGUCCUUGAUAGGACGAUACCCGUAAAUAAUUAUCAGGAACCUUUAGCUCAAGUUUUCCAUAAAAUCUUGUUAUCUAAUUUGCCAAAUUCCCCUAAUAUUGAUCUUAAAAAAAAUGAAGACAGGAUUUUCUUUUGCCAGUUGGGGUGAAGAAUUGGUAUAUCUACCAAACCGUUAGUAGAAGGGUAAAAGGCCUAGUGCCUUUCUCUUCUCUAGGCUGAUUUGCUGACCUCAGUUUCAUCCUGUCUAGAAUAAAAUUGUCUUGGCUUCUCAGAAAUUUUUGCAAUGUAAUCCAUAUUAAUGAGGAGCUUUCUUUGAACUAUAAUGGUUGCCAAGUAAUCUAAGGAAUUGUUUGGUUAGUCAGUAAGCUGGAAUGAAUCCGAAAAAACUGCUACUCAGCUUUAUGCUGCAAAACAACCUUUCAGGUAUUUAUUCUUCUUAAACCUGGAUGACACUAUUAGACCAAAAAUGGUCAAAUAAUUUUACCCAAACUUAUUCAGCUUUCUUCCUGCAUUUUUGCUCUCAUUAUUGCUCCUAUUCAAGUAACUUGGGUAAAACUACACUGGAACCUAACAUGGCCAAAAUCUUCUAUAUAACGAAAUCCAUUUAUAAGGUUUAUUUGUUGCAUUAGACAUUAUGCUAUCUGUUACAUGGAUGUUAUGUGCCUGCAUAGAUUAAACCUCAUCUACAAUUAGACACUUAAAACAAUCUAAUAUUUAAACAUUCCUUACAUGUAUCUAUUUCUUAUUCUCAUUUUCAUAUCUAUAAGCUGUAGUGAACUGUUUUGGCUAUCUGUUCUAUAUUUAUUCUCACAUGUUUUGGUCUCUCCUUAAGUUUUUAAAGAGUAUAUAGGAGCUAUUUUUUGUGUAUUUUCAAAACAGAAUCAUUAAGAAUACCAUAAAUACAUGAGAAUUAAAGUUGUAAUUGCGGAAGCUAGUAUGGUGUGCUCGAACAUGAUGAAAUAGAACUAAUGAAACAUAAUAAUAUAUAAUCUACAGAAUCAGAAUGACCUCGAAAUAUUGAAUUGAAUGUGCAAACCUAACGCAGGCUCAAGGAAUGCAAACUAACUCAAACAAAAACCAGUAAACAACCAAUGAAACUAGUGAUGAAUUCUCAUCGUGUUCUACCUUGGAGCAAAACAGUUGUCAUUGAACAAAGACCAAGUUUUCAGAAUAUCGUGACAAGAUGGAAGCAGAAAAUGUUGUUUGAUGAGCUUCUUAGUAAUGUGUGAAAAGAUGAAGUCAACCUUGACUUUUUCCCCCCUUUCUCCUCAGGGAAUUGUCUCUCUGGAUACCUUAAUGAAGCCCCUCCUAAAAGUUUAGAUUAAGUGUAACCUGCUAAGAUAUACUUAAACAGCAAUUAUAGUGCUUAAAAUUUUCUUAGGCUUCAAAAAGACGUUAAAUGUGUAUAUGAUAAACAUAGGGAAGAUUUGGACACGGAUAAAGUUGCAUGAAAAGGCGAUAUAUAAUAUGAAAAAGGAUGCAUGUAUGAAGCUUAGAGGCAUAAUUAGUAAACAAAAAUAGACUUGUGAUUCUACCAACUUAGACAUUUUGGCAUGAGCCAACCAGUUAGCUGUUGUAAAAAGCUAGUAAUCAGAAAUUCAGGUUUACAACUUGGAAACCUGAGAAUAGUUACAAGCCAAGAGAUAAUCGUGAAUGAAUAGAAGACCUUGAAAGGACAUAUCUUGGAAUCUACUAGUUGUUUGUUUAAUAGUUGUAGGAACCCCGUUGAAAUUGUAUUGCGGUCCAAGCUGCAAGCUUCAAGUGGAAAGAAGUGAGGUACUGAUAUAUAUAGGGUGGUAAAGACUGUAUCAAAAUAUUCCAACUUUGGAAUCUAUUAGCAAAUGAAUAUUCAACCAAAUCCAUCAUGGAGUGGAGGAGAUUUCUUGCCUUUUCCAUUACAGUGCAUUAUUGAAGCUGACCUAAGCUGUUUCUUCAUUAGGUGCACUUUUUAUUGUCUUAGAGGGAAACAUAGUUGAGAAGGCUUUGGUGAGUGCUCGACAGGCAUUCAUUUUGUAAGAUCUGGUGAAAAGGGAGAAAAUGUGUCCUAGCAAAUUAACAACUGCUUUUGCUUUAAGAACUAUUAUCUUCUGACAUAAGAUACUGAAGAAUUGUCCAUGUAAUGUUUUGAGUCUUUUCUGCUUAAAAGAUAAGUCUUUUGCUACGAUAGAACUGAAAAUGGUGAGAAUCUUUCAAUGCACAGUAUAUUAUGACAAGAUAUAUUGUCUUAUGGUGUGUGUAAGAUGCAUAUGAUGAUGUUAUUCAUCCUUAAACUCUAAAUUCCACUAUUUUCUUGUGCAGGUCCCAGCAGAAAACAAUAAUAAAUUCGAUGGCAGUUAAUGAAGAUGGUGUCUUAGCAACUGCAGGUAUGCUGUAUACGUAAUGAAUUAAUAGUUGAUGGACCAAAAAUGCACUAAAUUAUGUUAGGUUACAUGUUAAAUUCAAGUUGGCUGUAGCAUAUCAUAUUUUCUAGCUUACCUAGCUAACAGUGAAAUAAAUAGCCAUUAUCUGGUGUAACUGUUUUGCAACUUUUCCUGAAGGUGACAAUGGGAGCCUUUGGUUCUGGGAUUGGAAAAGUGGCCAUAACUUCCAGCAAGCCCAGACUAUUGUCCAGCCUGGUGAGUUUUUUUCAUUGAUGGGAACUGUGUGCCUUUCCUCAUUAUUUGGUAAUACUUAAAAAUAGAUCAAUGAUGGUUGCUUUUGUGUUCUUAAAUUGGAAUUUUAGGUUCACUGGACAGUGAAGCAUGUAUAUAUGCUCUUUCAUAUGAUAUAAGCGGCUCGAGGCUUGUUACUUGUGAGGCAGACAAAACUAUUAAGAUGUGGAAAGAAGAUCCAACUGCCACACCAGAAACUCAUCCACUAAACUUCAAGCCUCCAAAAGAAUUUCGGAGGUACUGAUGGCACCCUAUGCCAGUAGUUCAGGUUGGCAGCAUUGGCGAUGCCAUUUAUUUGCCUGCAACUUAAGCGCGUGAUGGAAUGGUUCCACAUUUAAGUAGAAAAUGCAGAACUACUUGCUCAGAAGGUUAUACAUUGCAUUGUGGAAUUAUCAGCUUUAUGAAGCUGUAUGUGUUAAUUUAACUAUGCUGGUACUUGAUGAAUAUCAAGGAUGGACUACAUUUAUCAUGAUUUUAUCAGUAGAGUUGUAAGAAAUCUAAAAUUGCAGCUUGUGCCAGCAAAAAAGGGUUCACUUGAAAGUCACGAAGAUUUAAACAGCACUUGUCACAUGGUGUGCAUAAUUUUGCAUGAAUAUACUCUUGAUGAUGUGCUUAGCAGCCACACGACACUAGAGAGAUGGCGAUGCAGCUGCCCAGUCUGUAGAUGCUCUGUUUUAAGUUUUUUAUUUUGUUAAGCUGGGACGGGGGCUAGAGAUCAACAAUGAAAAUGACCAAUCUUUUCUACGAUUGAUAUCUACAGCUGAUAAGGUUUCCUUGUGUAUGGAAAAUAAGUGUGGAUGUGAUUUGAGAGUCCUUUUUGUGGAAUAAAUGAUCGCUAGGUUGAGUAGCAUUUUUUUUUUUAUUUAUGAAGAGAGUGCCAAUGCUUAUCAUUCAUAUAUUAAAAAACUUCCCGAAAUAAGUUAUAUGCACAGCUCAAAUUGUCUAGCAUACAGAAUGGCUGCUGAGCUCUCAAUUUUUUUAUUAGUCUUUGUUUCGGUUCCUUUUAAUGUACUGGAUAAAACCUGAUGUCUGGUUUGAGAUGAGGAUAUCUAGUUCUAGCUUUGUUUUCUUCAUAAUUUCAGUAGUGUAGAAUCGCGAGACAUAAACAAAUGCAUUUUAUCAUCGAUGACUUUUGAAGCGUCUCAGAUGUUUCAAAUCUUGACAACAAAUCAAUCAUUCUGCUUGCAUGUUUAACCUGUUUUGUCCCGGCUGAUCGUUGCCAGUAGGAUUAGCACGGUCCAACUAAUUUUCUCUUAUUUAUAUCGCUAAUAAUGUGCACGGAGUUCAGGUUGAAAGAAAUCAGGCAUUGGGUUUCGAUCGGAUUUGGGCAUGUGUGAGCUGCAGCAUGUUCGACCUGGUCUGAACCUGGCCUAUUGCCUGAAUUGUAUAAUAUGGAAAAAUUUGGAUUCAUGUCCAAAUUCUUGUAAACUCUUGGAUCAGCAAUAAGCUCGAUGAGUCAUCUCUUCUUAAUUAGCUCCGUGACUCGAAGGCAUAUCCAACGUAUGGAUCUAUUGAUUUUAAGUGAAAAGCAAAUUCAAAAAAGAACCACCAAGAAUGCACUUAGUAAUAGCCGGUAUUUUUUAGGGCUAAUGGGUCGGCUCUCUUUACUUUCUCUCUCUAGAGAUCUAUGGAACCUAGCAUCAGAUCCUUUCUCCUCUCUACUUUCUCUCUCCUCUCUUUAUUUUCUCUCUCUAGAUAUCUAUAGAACCCAACAUCGGGUCGUCCUGUUGACCUGAUCUACGAACCCAAGUUGACUCCCUGUAAAAGGCCUUGAUCUACCUUGAUGCCCGAGUCGCCUACUGGACCGAUCCCCCGACCUUAUCAAGUGUCUAUCGAAUCCACUGAUGAUGAAUUCUGUAAAACGACCUUGGCUCUGAUCGAGUCCUGGUCGCCUCUUGUGUAUGCUAAUUACUAUUAUCCGCUGAUAGGGUCAUGUGGAACUGAAUAUCGAUCUAUCCUACUUUCAUAGACCAUACAUAGCUUUCUAAGAGCCUUUUUCUCAUAGUUCUUAAAACAAUUGAUUCUUAAAUCAUAUUUUCUUGAAUUAUACAUGAAUAAAACAAAAUAGCUUUAUAGAGUUUGUAACCCAUAAAUAAGUAUUUAACAGUAGAAUAAUUAUGAAAUUAUUAUUUUCAUAACAAAAAUACAAAUUUCAUAAAUAUGGAGUUCGUAGUUCAUAAAUAGUGCUUAACGGUAAAACAAUUAUUUUGCAAUAAAUCAUGAGUUUCAUAAUAUCAUAUGCUUGAUCUUUAAUUUUAAGAAAAUAUNNNNNNNNNNNNNNNNNNNNNNNNNNNNNNNNNNNNNNNNNNNNNNNNNNNNNNNNNNNNNNNNNNNNNNUAAGAAUUGUCAGAUUUACUUACUUUUUUUAUAUUAGAUCGUCAAACUUGACUUGACAAUUCAGUUAACCCUAUUUAAAAUAUUGAAAGCAAAAUUAAUUUUUGUUUGACGAUUGUAAUUGAAUUAAAAUAAUAAAAAACAAGGUCGACUAGUUGGAUUAUAGCAUUCAAUGAUUCUUGUGGGUCAGGCCUGGACGAUUCGAUCAAUAAAUUAUAGGGCAUAGACUCGAUCAGAGCCAAGGUCGUUUAAUAUAAUUCAUCAUCAGUGGGUUCCAUAAACACUUGAUAAGGCCGGGGGAUCGGUCCACUAGGCGAUCCGGACACUAGGGCAGAUUAGGGCCCUUUAUAAGUGGUCAACUUGGGUUCAUAGAUUAAGUCGACAAAAUCCGAUGCUGGGUUCCAUAUAUCUUCUAGAGAGAGAAGUAGAGAAGAGAGAGAAAGUAGAAAGAAGAGAGAAAACAAGAGCGAGAAAGAGAGAGAUGACUCUCUCUCCUCCUCUUCUUCUUUUCUUUAUUACUCUUUUUUUCUUUCUUCUUUCUUGGCAAAAUAGAAGAGAAAGGGGGCACCUGGUGGUUGUGUCGUGGUGGUUCGGCAUGGUCGCGGUGGCGGGCAACAGAGGGCAAAUUCCGGCGAUUUUGGAAGAUCGGUCAAAUUCGGUGGAAGAAGAUCGAAACAGGGGUGCCUUAUUUUGGAAGAAGUUCCGGCGAUUGCCGGCUCAAACUAAAGGGAAUGAAGGCCUAAAACAUUAAAGGAGGAGGAGAAGAAGAUGAACUACUCUUAUCUCAAUUCGGCGAGGCGUUCUGGCGACUCUUGCUUAUGAAAAUCGGAGGAAGAACCUCAGAAAAAAUGCUUAGAAUCGACGACGAUCUUUGGUGAUUUCGAUGGUCAAACUCAAACUCAAAGGAAAAGGCCUUAAAUAGAUGAUUCCUAAGGUUUGCGACUGGUCUUUAGAUCGCUCUAGGACUCUCAGAGUCUGGGGACAAUGGAGGAGGAAUAAGACUCCAGUUGGGAGUCUUCUCCUUCUCCCAAUUGUGAGCAACAAGGACUCGCUUGAUCUUAAUGGGCCUUAGCCUCUUGGGCUGGCCCAUUAGCCCUAAAAAAAUCGGCUAUUAUAUUUUUCCUCUUAAGAUAAUAUCAUUCUCGAAAUAUGUAUUCAGUCCCACAUCAGUUAUUUACUGAGUAAAUUUUGGGUACUUAUACAUGAUCAAAAAAUCCAAAUAAUAACUUCUGACUAGUCAUUUUGGGUGAGACUCUGGAUUGUUAUAAAUGGUUUUAAAGUGGACCCGGUUUAAAAUUUAUGUGGACCGGAGGAUACUGCAACAUGGAUUUGUUGGAGCUGACCACAGGUCGAUUGUGGUGCUUGUGCUUAGAUUUGAAUGGAGGAAAAAGUAUGUGAGGACCUGUGCGAGCGUGUAUUUAGUCCCACAUCGAUUAUUCGCUGCGUAGAUUUGGAUACUUAUACAAAAUCAAAAAAUCUAAAUAAUAUCUUUUAGCUAGUCAUUUUGGAUAAAAUUGUAGGUUGUUACACUUAUCAAACUUUGCCAUAUGCUAGGAUUGUCAAAGAUUCUUCCCCGUCUUUCUGGGAGGGGCUUUCCUUGCAGUUUGUAUUGUAAAUCUGUUAAAACUCUUUUCACUCGGAUGUCUCUUCCAUCAACUUCACCGACAGACGUGGCCUUAAGUGAACUGCAUAAAUUCGUGCGGGCAAACUAGCCAACUAGUCAAAUGCCAACAUGACGACAAAAAGGUUGGCAACUUUAAAAGAGCAAACUCCCUGGCAUCUUUAAAAGACGUGGUUGGGCAGCUGGUGUGGGCGGCUGAUCAACUGAAUACGGUGGAAGAAAUCGAAACUGGGGUGCCCUAGAAGAAGUUCCGGCGAUUGCUAGCUUAAACUAAAGAAAAUGAAGGCUCAAAACAUCAAAGGAGAAGGAGAAAAAGAUGAACGACUCUUACCUCAGUCCGCCGAGGUGUUUUGGCGACUCUUCUCAGUGGAAAUCGGAGAAAGAACUCAGGAAGAAUGCUUAAAAUCGAAGACGAUCUUUAGCGAUUUCGAUGGUGAAAUUCAAAGAAGAAAGAAAAGGCCUUAAAUAGAUGAUUCCUAGGGUUUGUGGCUGGUUUUUAGAUCGCUCUAGAACUCCCAGAGUCCGGCGAUAAUGGAGGAGGAAGAAGACUCCAGUCGGGAGUCUUCUCCUUCUCCCAAUCGCGAGCAACAAGGGCUCGCUUGAUCCUCUCGGGCCGGCCCAUUAGUGAAAAAAAAUUGGCCAUUGUUUAGUCCCACAUCAGUUAUUCACUGGGUAGAUUUUGGGUACCUAUACAAGAUCAAGGAAUCCAAGCAAUAGCUUCUGACUAGCAAUUUUGGAUGAGAUCCUAAAUUAUUACAAAUGGUAUUAGAGCGGACCUGGUCUAAAAUCUAUGUGGACUAGAGGACACUAUAGCACAGAUUCAUUGGGGCUGACCAUAGGCCGAUCGUGGUGCUUGUGAUUAGAUUUGAAUGGANNNNNNNNNNNNNNNNNNNNNNNNNNNNNNNNNNNNNNNNNNNNNNNNNNNNNNNNNNNNNNNNGAGCGUGUAUGUAGUCUCACAUCGGUUAUUCAUUGCAUAGAUCUUGAAUAUUUAUACAUAAUCAAAAAACUUAAAUAAUUUUUUUCGAUUAGCUAUUUUGUGCAAAAUUCUGGUGCAAAAUUCUAGGUUGUUAUACUUAUCAAACUCUACCAUAUGCCCGGAUUGUCAAAGAUUCUUCCCCGUCUUCUCGGGAGGGCCUUUCUUUGUAGUUUGUACUGUAAAUCUGUUAAACUCUUUUCACUUGGAAGUCUCUUCCAUCAACUACAUCGACAGACGUGGCCUUAAGUGACCUGCAUAAAUUUGUGUGGACAAACUAGGUAACUAGUCAAAUGCCAACAUGACGACAAAAGGUUGGCAGCUUUAAACGAACUAACUCCUUCGCAUCUUUGAAAACACUCCUUGGUUCAUCAACCUACCAUGCGCAUUUGCUAAAUGUUAAAAAUAGUACUGUUGCUGGGUUCUCAAACACAGCUCAAAGACACCUUUCAAAGUGGCUGUCAUGCUUGACAUUGUGAGAGAACUAAGCAAACUUUUUUUUUGCCUAUAAAUACGAUAGGUAGGUUGGAGUGCCUGACCAGUGACCACGAGCCACAUUUUCUUCCCCUAAGCCUAAUCUUGGAAGCUUCUCAAGUCCAAUACAAUUGCAUGGAAAAGGUCACCUUAACUAACGUUAAUAUUUUAAUGCCCUGCCGCCUUGCACUUUCCUUUUCUUUAGCAUUAGAAAUUCUUUUUUAUAUAAAAUAUAUAAUCACCUAAGACAUAAGAAAAUGAUUUGAACAUGUGCCACAUGGAUGGUGAAACAUGGACAUCGCUUUGAAUUCAUAUAAUUGACUCAAGACGUAAGCCUAGGUGUCUGGGUAGGUCACAAAUUAGAUUCAACCUGCCAACUGGAAUGGCCUCCCAAGCUUUUCUAAGCUAGGCCAAACAUGGACAAUAAUUACUAUACUACAAGGAAAAAGGGAAGAAAAGACGUCCCGCCGGUCAAUCAAAAACCUUUAUUUUCAUGCUCAGGAUUAAAUUUCAAUUUGCUAAUCGCCACCAAUGCAAUUAUUGUCCACGAGGAUGAGACCUAAUCUUAAGCCUAAUCCAUAUUUUGAGCCGGAGCUAAUUUCAGCUAAAUUUAAUAAAUAGUUAGUGUUCGAAUCUAUCUUAGAUCUUAAUUCGAGCAUUCGUAUAAAAUGCGGUCAGGCCAGGCUAGACCUGUUUUUACAUCCCUAAGAAAACUUUGGAGAAGGGUUUAACCUAAUCUAACACAAAUUUGUUAAGUAAACCCAUUAAAUAGAAUCCAUAUUGCAGACUAGAUUUUGAUUUGGACCCGUACUACCUGAGCCACCUUCAUUAGCACAUUAAUCACAUUCAAAGAAGGAAUUCUUUCUGCAAGGUGGAGGAAAGGGAAAGAUGGGACCUCCCAACCAAUGUCCUAAUGAUUUAGAAAUGUGAAAAUUUUAAUAAUUAUUGCGUGGAACAGUUGGCUGCAAUGAGUAAAACUCCCAAGUCCCAACCUCAUCAUGAUGCAGACAUUAUAGUGGAAAAUAUACUUGGGGCUGCUGCCUCCCCCAAGUACAUACCAUAACAACCCCAAAUACCCCCAUCUCUUUCUUGCCUUCUAUUACAAUUCUUAAAGCCAAAACAAAAGAGAUGCAUGAAAACAAUCAAAUAAAACGGCCUUAAAGCUUGGACUGGACUCUAAACAAGAGUCCUCUUUUAAUAUCAAGUGGCCUCAGGUGAUAUGAGAGAGUGGAAGCCAAGCCCUCACUGCAAUUAUAUGGAAUAAAGUGAACAAGUUUGUGGUAGUAUCUUCCACAAGCAUCAUCAUAUAGUUUGCGAAGAAUCAUGUCCAUCACGAUUUAUAUAUCAUUAUAAUAUGUACAAGCACCUAACAUGUGAGUAAAAAUAUGGCGAUUAGCCGACGUGCUGACCCACCGGACAAAGUAUAUAUCUUAAAUAGGCUCUGGAUCAUAUGGUUUUAUUUUGAAACUUAUUACACAUAAAGUAAUUGUCCUCGGUACAAUCCUUUAUUAUAUUUAUGAAGUAUCUCUUGUUUUAAUUUUUGCAAAGCCGGCAAUGUUAGUUUACCGAACCGACAUCGAACCAGACCAUAUGUUGGUGUACUCUUGUUAAAAUUAUCGAGAAAAUGCUUCAAAAUUUCGUCGUAUUAGCAUGAUGAUGAAGGGAAAGUUAAUGCUAAUGGAGGGGGUGCAAAGUUAACGAGAAGAGGAAGGAAAUAUAUAUACUUGAUUUAAAGGCCAAAAUGCUAAAUUUAUCUUGUAUUUGAGUGCCUAAGUUCACUCAAUUCUGACAACCAUCCAUAACUUUUGAAGUCGUCAUAUUUUUUUGACCAUGCAAUGCAGAAGAUUGAAAAUUAAACGAUUGGAGUUAAAUGUAUUCAUCCCUUCUGAGUUCAAUUCCGAAACUAUAAUUUAAGACCAAGGAUCUGCAUUCUUUAAGACCAAGUCCACCCGAAAUAUAGACAUUCUAAGAAGGUGACCUGUGAGCCUUCUCUUUUGACAUGCAGAGAUCUAAAAGCGACGACUAGAAAUGCCAGUUCAGAGACAGAAGAUUUCAUUCAUCAAGAGUACUAGAACUAACUGCUCCCAGAGCUGUCCGAGAAUGUGCCGUCUCUGCUGACUGAAUAGUUUAUUAUGACUCUUUACUUGCACUACAUUCCAAUCCACUGGCCUUAUACAAACACAUUGGCUGUGUUCUCACUGAAGACUUCAAAUUUGUUUGUUAGUUUGGAAUACUAAAUACCAACUCCUUAUGUAUGUUGCAGAUGAACAUGAAUACUCUAAAAGAAGAAGAAGAAGAAGAAAGGAUGAUGAUAACCCACCUAUGAUUUCUUUAGUUUUAGAAUAAAUGUUUGUUGGGGAAAGAGGUAGGAAGGUGGCAGACCUUGUGUGCUUCUUUAAUUGAUUCCAACUUAGUAUCUUAUGGCCUAAACUAGGAGGUAAAAAAUUGGUUGCAACUUUCGUGUAUUGGUUUCUAUUGCACAGGGGAAAAAAAACAACAUAUUCAAGGAAUGUUUACUUGGAGGAUGUUUUUUAAGUUUAAAUUAUCAGAAGCAUUGCCAUGUUACAGCUAGUCACUAGUGAAAUAUAGUAUCAAUAAUUGGGAAUCAUACUGGGUAGGUGUCUCUUCCAUAAUGUUUCAUUUGCUCAAACUAGAGGAUGGGGAAAUUUGGCUGCAACAUAAGUCAGCUAGUUCGACUUUGUUUGCUGCGAUUUUUUUUGUUAGUUUGAUAGAAGAGUCUUCUGAGUCCUAACUUCCGAGGAAGGAGAUCCAACCUUGUGAAAACAAUUUGAUUUCUUAAUCAAACAAGACAGCAGCAACAACAAGAACAACCGAUAAUAAUGGGUGGAUAAAGAUCAAAACUCAUUGCCCCUUGAUUGAUUAACUUGUAAUUGCAAGCUCAGGAUGAAUUUCACAGUCCAUUUGAUCCAUGUAGUUAUUGAUUUAGAUAGCAUAAUGUCAACUUAUAUUUAUUAAUCUUAUAAAUAAUUAUUAGUUGACAUUAAAUUAGAUGUUAUGGUCCAUCUAGUAUCUUCUCAUUUGAUUGUUUAGUAAUUCAUCUCUGGGUGAUAAUUGAAGUCCAAAAAUGCCUGAUUAGGAACCAGUACUAAUUACCACCUCGCUUCUGCCCAAGGAAAAUGCAUGGCACAAUGACAAUAAAAUAGCAUAUACUAUGCAAAAGAUAAAGUGAAAAAAAAAACAGAGAUUCCAUAGAUUUUAUCAAGAUUGAUGUCAAAAUCUAAAUCAAAUUGACAUGAAAAGGUAUUAUUUAAGACUGCAAAAAACUUAAGAUUAAGAAAAUAUAUAGAUCAUAAGUAAGUCACUUUGCUACCUUGUAAUUAUUUUACAUAAAAUUUGGGCAAUCCACAUGUAAUUGGGCUCUCCAGUGAAGUCCAUUCCGGGCAGAGGAAGCGUAGGGCUCUACAGCGAGCUUCCAAUUUCCACAAAGCUGGAAUGUUUCCUAUGACCACAUUGCCUUUGAAUCUUCUCCACACAUUUUGGGAUAGCCCUAAUAUAUCAUUCUAGCAUUUUAUUUUAACCAAAUGUCCACCUCAACAUCUACAUCAUUGCAGUCACAUACCAAAAUUUUUGUAUUGAUUGAAGUAUUGAACUUAAACAAUAUCAAAAAAAUUAUUAUUAUCACAUUGGUAUAUCAUAGAUAACUAUCAAUUCCUUGAUAGUUCCUGUCAAUUCCAUUUAAUCUAAAGUUAAGAAACAUAUCUUUGUCUCGAUCCUUAUUCCUUUCUGUACCAUAGAUUCCACAUAUUAAAAGUCAUCAAAAUAAGUUUUACUUCCAAUGAUUGAUGCCUAACUUCCAUUUCAUUCUUAGAAAAAUUGCCCCUAUCACACCUGGUUGCCUUCAAACAUUCUUGCUCAAGAAUACAACAAACUAUUCUACAAACUGCAAAUCUCAACAGCUUUUGAACCUUUUUAUGCAAUUAAAUGCAUCCAUAAAAUACCUCCAUAAUGACUACACUAUAUGGGAUGUGACACAAGUAACAUAAGAAUAGACAUUAACCACACAUUAGGCACCACAUGUGUCAUCAGUCAUCAGUCAUCACCAUGGCAUACAAAAGCAAAGUAUACAUGCAGCAUUUACCACUAGAUCUUAACAUAUCUUUUUGCCACCUUUUUACCAGCUAGUUAUCAGUUUCAAGAUUUUUUUAUGAUCAACUAAACAUGUUAAAAUUAUUUUUUCAGACAUCAUAUUUUUAGAAAUUAUUGUUAUAGAAAAAAUAUUUUAGUAAGAAUUUUUUUUUUACCAAAUGAGUCCUCUAAGACAAGUCCAUCGCCGAUGCAGCUAAAAGUCCAAGUGGAGAAAACGUGCACCAAUACAUAGCUUUUUCUCCCCGAGUUGCCUAACUAGACUCAGCCCAAAAAUGUCAUGCCAUUCUCAUGGCCAACUCUUCCCCUUGAUUAGCGUUUAGCGUCCCAGAAAACGCGCACCCAAGACUUUCCCAACCAAAACCAGACCUUGCCCAACCGACUCCCCCUAUACUUAGUCUAAACUAAAUGACUGCUCAAAUAAAUCAUUAAAACAAAGAUAGCACUCUAAAAUUUAUAAUUCUAAUCAGUGGAACACGAUCACAGCCAUGCAACUGUCGCACACCUAGUCAUGCACUCGCCAACCCACAAGGUCCCACUGGAUCACAGCCGUUGGAUCUAAAAUCAUACAGGUUAUACACCCCAAGUCAAACAAAAUUCCAUACCAACCACCCGGACUCUACCAAUUAAAGAAGAAUCUAGCGAUUAAAAUAUAACGUAUAAUUUAGCUAUCACCUUCCGGACUUAUAAUAUUAGUAGUAUAUGAUUAUAAAAUUAGUGCCAAAAGAUAUUAAUCUCCAUAACUAACAUUUAUAUUAAUUAAUUUAGGGGAUGAAGGAUGAUCGAACGUGGAAGCCGACGCGUCCAUGGUCCCCGUCAUCGUCUUAUUCUCGCGGCGCCAACGGCGGAAUUCCGGACUCCGACUCACUCUUUAAAUGUCAUUAAAAGCACAAUUAAAGUCCGUAUAAGUAAAAGCCCACGAAGCCCACAUACUUGUCCGAAAUAACUGAUUCAACAAAAAGCCAAACCAACCUUUGUAAGGGCUGAUUAGUCAUUUUACUAUUCCACAGCGGUCAAACCGAGGGUAUUUUCGAAGUUUUGAAGAAGAGAAGGGUUUAUUUUAGGUCUAGGAGAAUCUCAGAUGCACCUAGGCGGGGUGGUUCUAUAUACACCCCCCCUAUUGCUAAGGACACCCCCCAAAAAUCAAAAAGAAAAUACCCAAACUAACCUUUAGUGUAAUUACCAUAUUGCCCUUGAAAUUUUCUUAGUACACCCCUCCUCCUCCUCCUCCGUUUCGUUUUGAAAAAAAAAAAACCUUGCCCCCCUCAAACCCCCCUUAAACCCCUCGAUCCAUUUACAUCAUUUAGGCGAUCUUUGAAGGAGAUUUAAGCCCCAUUCGAAGCAUGGACAAGCA
RNAcentral lists this long non-coding RNA (75274 nucleotides) under Phoenix dactylifera (date palm). Its description in RNAcentral is "long non-coding RNA (PDAC_LNC001021)". The record is from RNAcentral. Lineage: Eukaryota; Viridiplantae; Streptophyta; Magnoliopsida; Arecales; Arecaceae.